UUUAGUUUAGGUAUGUUGGUUGAUAUCAACGAGUUAGUUUUAACUGAAUAGAAAAAGUAAAAUAUUUUGAUUUUUUCUAUUCAAUCAAAUAAUAAAUACCACCUAAGACUUUAACCAGUCCAUUUCCACUUACAACCCCAUGUCAAGAUCAAAGGUCACAAAUAAUCAAAAUUUUCCCAUUUCAUGUUCACUAAUCUAAAAUUAUAAAAGAAGAGAAAAUGUUAAAAAUAUCAUUUAAGAAAAAACAAAAACAAAAUAAAAGUGGAAGAGCUUGAGAAAAGUGUAUUUCAAAUAAUUUGGCUUUCUUAUAAUCAAAUAAGAAAAAAAAAUUAUAUAAUUUUUUUCUUCAUUUUUCUUAUUUAUUUUAUAGCUUAUACUACUCUUUACCUUUUAACUGCAUUCAAAUUAUUAAUUAGGAAGGUUUGAACUUUUACAUCAAAAGAACCUAGAAAAUGCCAUGAGGCAUAUAUUGAAACUACAUCGACUCAUUUGAUUUAUUUAUCUAUAUUAUUUAAAUAUGUUGUCAUCUUAAUAUAAGAAGUUAAAACUUAGACAAUUCUAUGAAAGAAGCCAAAGAGUAAGUGGAAACAGGAAAUAGCAGCUUCUUUGGAGGAAAAAGAAAAACAACAUGAUUGGAAUGCAUCUUGUGUACAAUGCUAAUGCACUAAUACAAUAUUUAAAAAAUAAUAAUAAUGGGUAGAAUAAGACACCUCUAAGGCUAUUAGGUUUGCUAUAAAAUAUGCACUAAUAGUACAACACAAAUGUAGGACAAAUACUCUUCUUUACUAUGUAAGAUAUUUUCAAUUUAUUACAAUUAGUGGUACUUUUAUGUAACGUUUAUUUUGGUUGUUAUCUUGUGAAAUAAAAUUAUUUGAAAAUUGCAUUAAGGAACAUCUACUUUUCCAUAGGUAAACGGAAGUGAAUAAUUCAAUUUAUGGUUAACCUCACGUAGAGAAGAUUGUAAUUGGUGAGGAUAAGUUAGUACAAUACAAGGGUGGAAAAGAAAAGGGAUAUAUAUUGUUCGGGGGAUAUUAUAUAAUGAUUUUGUUUCAAAUGCAUGUUUUUGUCAUUGUCCAACUAUUGAAGUACAAAAGGAUCAGACGCAAGUAUGCAUUCGUUGUGAUCAUCACUAUGAUGUUAUCUCAUAGUGAUGAUUAUGUUUGUAUUUAUGUACUUCAAUAUGUUCAACAAUUAGAGGACGAAGGAGGUAUGAUCAAUGUGCAAAUUUGAAAUUGGUAAGUCAUGCACACCUUAUAAGUUGUCAUUGAUUCCAUGCUACAUGCCUCACAUUUUCAUGAUUUUAGUGUGCUAAAUUGUUAAUGCUUUUGGGGCAACAAAAACUAUUAAAGUUCACACCUUUAACAAUGCGCAUAAUCAUUACGCAAAUGAUGAAUAUUCAUCUCAACUUUCAAUGCAGUCAAACAAAGGUGCUCUUGUCAUAGAACAAGUCAUAAGGUUAACUCCUUAGUAUUUGUCAUAUCAAAUUUACAAAGAUUUCUUUAAAUGAUAUGGUGUUUCAUUGUGUUAUAAGCAAGAUUAGAAAUAAAAAGAAAUAGCAAAGGAAAGAAUAUAUGACCUUCUAUAGAAUUCAUAUAAAUUAUUGUCUUGGUUAUGUAAGUGAUUAGUACACAUUAAUCUUAGCAAAAUUGCAGAAUGUAUGCAAAUAAUUGAUUUUUUUUUUUUUUUUUUUUUUUUUUUUGCAAUAGUUCGAUAGUGAUUCUUUUCUAGUGCAAGAUUUCUUAAUGGGUUAUCAACUUGUCAUUGCAAUUGACUCAACCAAUUUAAGUGGACCAUAUAGAGACUCUUUAUUCUUUAUGCCAACAUAUGGUGUUGAUGAUGAUUUGUUCCCAAUUGCAUUUAGUGUUAUCAAUUCAAAAAAAUUAUGAAUAUUGGUUAGGAUUUUUAUAGAAAUUAAAAGACAUACCUUAUAAUAAAGAGGUAAUCACAGUAUUUGAUAGGCAACAAGUGAUUCUUUGUAAUGUUCCUAAAUUUUUAGGGUUGAAAAUCAUGCAUUUUGCUAGCAUCAUGUAAAGAAAAAUUUUAACAACUACGUGACCAAAUACAGUAUAAAGGGCAGAAGAGCUAAAGAGGAUAAUAUGUUAUUACUUGACAAUGUCGCCUUUGGAUGAUAAUUAUGUUGUUGUUAUAGAAAAAUUGUAGACAUAUAAUAGUAACUUAGCAAAGUGGGUUGAAGGUAACAAUCUACAACAUUAGACAAUGUCAAAGUUUCCUUAAAAAACAUAAGGGUAAUAUGAUAACUAAUCUUAUCGAAUCAUUAAGGCUAUGUUUGGAUCCUAGAAAAUUUGAGGGAAAAUGUGAGGGAAAGAAAAAAGAAAGAAAAAGUGAAAGAAAAUGAAAAAUAAGUUUAAACUCAAUAAAUUUUGGAUGUAAUCACAUUUUGUUUUUAAAUUAAUUUGACAAUCUAAAAAAGAUUGGAUAUAAGUCUCGUGGAUUUUAUUACAACAUAUUUAAAUGGAUUCAUAGAUAAUGAUAUAUCCAUGAAAAUUCCUAAAUGAUUUAAAUUUCCUAAAACAAAUAGUACAAAAUCUCAUAACAUGUACUUAAUCAAGUCAAAAUAAUCCUUGUAUGGAUUAAAGUAAUUCGAAUGCAUGUUAUAUAAUUGUCUUAACAAAUACUUGCUAAAAGAAGAAUAUGUAAAUAACUCUAUUGUCUAUACAUUUUUGUUAAGAAAUCAUAAACUAGAUUUGCAAUUAUUAUAGUAUAUGUUGAUAACUUAAAUCUUAUUGGGACUCCUAAAAAGCUCACAAAAACAACAAAUUAUUUGAAAAAUGAAUUUGAGAUGAAAAAUCUUAAAAGAAAAUAAGAUUUUGUCUUGACCUGCAAAUUGAACAUUUUCCAAAUAGAUUUUUAAUACAUCAAUCAACAUACAUUAAGAAAAAUUUGAAGCAUUUUUAUAUGAAUAAAACACAUCCCUUAAGUUCUCCAAUAGUUGUCCAAUCACUUGAAGUGCAAAAUGACUUUUUUCGCCCUUGUAAAAAAAAUGAAGAAUUACUUAUUUCUAAAGUAUCAUAUCUUAGUAUUAUUGAUGCACUUAUAUAUCUUGCUAAUUAUAUACUAUUCCCAUACAUUGUUUUUCCUAUUAAUUUAUUAGCAACAUACAAUUACACUACAAAUUGAAGAUAUCGGAAUAGUAUCAAACAUAUAUUGCACUGUCUUCGUGAAACUACUGAUAUGAGUGUAUUUUAUUUAAAAGAAUCAAAGUUACAAUUACUUGGAUAUACAAAUAUAGGAUACUUUUCCAACCCACAUAAAGUUAAGUCACAAAUAGACAGUGUGUUUAAUUGUGAUAAUACCGUUAUUUCAUAAAGAUUUGUCAAAAAAACAAUGAUGACUACCUCUUCAAGUCAUUUAGACGUACUUACAAUUCAUUAAGCAAGUCAUAAAUGUAUAUGACUAAAAUAUAUGAUAUAACAUAUUAGAGAAUCAUGUGGACUCUUUUGUAUUAAAGACAACCCUAUGAUAUUAUAUGAAUGCAUGCAUUACACAUAUAAGAGGGGUUGUAUUAAAGGAAAUAAAACCAAACACAUUUUACCAAAAUUCUUUUAUACUCAUGAACUCUAAAAGUGUGGUGAAAUGGAUAUUCGGUAAAUAUAUUCAAAUGAUAAUCUAGCAAAUUUAUUCAUAAAGUCAUUAUCAACCUUAACAUUUAAAAGAUUAACACGUAAGAUGAGAAUGCACCAACUCAAGAAUAUCAACACAAGGGAGAGUAUGUUUAUGAAAUAAUAUUAGUGUACUAUACUUUUUUUUUCCUUUAUUCAAGUUUUGUCUCAUUGGAUUUGAUUGAUAAGGUUUUUAAUAAGACAGUCCUAACAAACCAAAAGCAUAAUGUAUAUUUUUUUCUUUAUUAAAUUUUUCUCAUUGGAUUUUUUUAUUAACAGGGUUUUAAUAAGACAUUCUUUUAAUGUGGUGAACAUCAACAAGGAGCGUUGUAAAUGGAGUGAUGAAUGACCCCAGCAUUAACUAAGAGUUAGAUUAAAGUUUAUUUAUAAAAGAUGAGUAAAUGGAAGUCAUUUAUAUCAAAUAUAUAAAAAGUUCCGCAUACUUCAUAUUGGUCACACCUCGAGUAAGAAGUUCUCUCAUUCUUUCUAUAAUUUCUUCUUCUCCCUUGUACAUUUAUAACGGUAUUAUAUAUAUUUCUUUAUAUUCUUCUUCCCGACUUACAAUAUGUUUAUUAUCAUUUUAUAACAUAUUUAAUGUUUUUCUAUAAAUAUUUUAAAUAGAUAUUUCUAAAAAAUAAAGGAAAAAAAAGGGAGAAUUAUGUUUUGGGGUAGAUGGGCCCCCAAAUUAACAAAAGGUCCAUGUAACUUUUCAAAUUGAGUUGAAGGAUAUGAAAUAGUAACGGACAAAUAUACCCUUUAAGAACACAUAUAAAAUAUUUUAUAAAAUUAAGUUAAAUAAUUUUUUUUUUCAAAAAUACUAAAUUAAAUAAAAGUAGUUUUCAAAAAUAUUAAAUUAAAUUAAAGUAUUUAAAAAAAAUAUUAAAUUAAAUAUUUUUUAAAUAUUAAAUUAAAUAAAUUUUAAAUAUUAAAUUAAAUAAAUUUAUUUUUUUAAAAAUAUUAAAUUAAAUAAAAGUAUUUAAAAAAAAUAUUAAAUUAAAUAAAAGUAUUUUAAAAAAUAUUAAAUUAAAUAAAAGUAUUUUAAAAAAUAUUAAAUUACAUAAAAAUAUUUUAAAAAAAUAUUAAAUUAAAUAAAAGUAUAUUUCAAAAAUAUUAAUUUUUUUUCUCAAAAUCAAUAAAGGGCAUUUUUGGAAAUACUGAAAGAUGAUAUCCUUCAACUCAAUUUCCAUAUUUUCAUUGGGUCUUGGGCUCAAUUUGAAGAACCUUUUGUUAAUUUGGAAACUCAUCUAUCCCCAAAACAUAAUUCUCCCGAAAAAAAAGCCUCUAAAAUCAUAUUAUUGAACGUGUGUAAUUUUUGUUUAUGAAAAUCGGAAUUUUUGCAAUUUCCCGCAUGCGCCGUUAAUCAGACCCCUGUCACGUGCCGUUCUCGCUCUUCAAUCUCUCUCGGAGCUGGGGUUUCGGACUUCACCAUCGACAAUGAAGAGAAGAAUUUUCCAAACCAGUUCUACAGCACCAUUGCACAUCCCCACCGGUCUUCAGGGACCUCAAGGUUUCUUCCUAAUUUCACAAUUAACCUUCUAUUAAUUUAUUAGUUUUUUUUUUUUUUUUUUUAAGUUUUCAAUUAUUUUCGGAGAUCGCAUUGCUUCGAAUUAUAUUAUUUGGUGAUUUAUCGAACCAAUUCACGGCAGAUUUUCUGAAAUUUCUUAGUUUUACAUAUCUUUCGAUGCUUAAUCGUUUGAUAUUAGCGAGUAGUGUAGCAUGUCUUGUUUUGGUUCGCAUUUGAUCUGGUUUGCAGUUUCAAUUUGAGGAUAUUGUUCUACAAAAUUGCAGUUAAAUAAAUAUAGUUGAAUUUGGAUCUGAAUUUAUGUACAUUUGGAUAGGUAAUUCCGCCAAAAAAAAACCUGAAAAUUUUCUAUUAGAAGGGAAAAUUGGCUAGCCAGUAACUAUUGGAAAAAAAUAAAAUCUGUGAAAUUGGACGAAGCCGAGGGAGAUUUGAAUUAUUUUUAAAAAUUUGGAUAACCACUCCAAACUACCAUUCUCAACAAUACCGGUAUGUAAUUCCCCAUUCCCCAUUCAUUCAAUAAUCAUGAAACUAUCAUCAGGGAUAGGACAAUUGGAAAAAUGGACAAGUUCAACAUGCUGAGCAUUUCUUACUAUUAACAUUUCUCCUAAACUUUCUAGACGUUCGGUACCUCACCUGUGCAUUUUGCGCGUGGCCAACUCUUAGUUGUUGUUUGUUUUUUUUAACUUUUUGCUCAAAGCAAUUUGCUUUCAGAUUUCAAAUAAUUUGUUUUCACUUUUUGUUGACUUAUGACUUAUUUCUUAAAUUUUUUGACUGAAUAGGAAAAGCUAAAAUAUUUUACAUUUUUUGAAUACUAAAAGUGAACUACCAUAACUAAAGUGAACCUAUUGGUUUUUUUUUUACUUUCUUAUUGCUUCAUAGAAAUAAAAUAUUAAAGCAAACCAAUAACUUAAUAUUUAACACUAUUUAGUCUUAAGUUUUAUUUAGAAUUAACUCAAAAAAACAAACGCCACCUUAGUGAGGUUCAAGUCAAAUGGUCCUUGGCAAAUGUGGGUAGUUUAGAUAAUUGAUUUUUUUUUUUUUUUUCAAAAUUACUUGCCUGGUGAAUGAGUGAUUUUGUGGUAUUGAAUGCUUGUCUGGAAUCUGGAUGCUUGCUCCAUGGGUUUUGGUAUGGCACUUGUGAGGACUUUAUCCUCAAUAAUCCCAUCAUUCAUUGGUAGAAACUGAAGCAUUCAUGCAUCUUUGAUCAGCUGACUUGUGGCUUCAUUUGGGAUAGCUUCUUACUUGUGCUUCUAUUUCUAAUAAAAGCACAAACAUAAGCCUUGAUUUUUAUUUGGCUUAUUAGUUGAUGUUUGGGAUUAUAUUUUAAAAGAUUUUUUUAGUGCUAAUUUUUUUUUAUUUGUCUGGUUGGCAAAAACAUUCCUUAAAUCUCCUAUUGCUUUGUAAUGACCAUUUUAUCCUCUGAAGAACAUUUUCUUCACCGAUUUGAAUACAUAUAAAAUAUUUAAAUUUCAUUUUAUACCUAAUAAAUAUUUAUCCAAUAAUAAAUUCAUCACACCCAAAAUUCCCAUAUUCAUAUUUUAUAAUUUAACUAUAAUAAAUAAUCAUAGAAAAUAGAUUAAAUAUUACAAACUAUAUUAGUUUUUAAACCAGCAUAGAUAAAUAACAAUUAAUAUGAAAUAAGUUUUUUCAAAAAGUAUAGAUAGAAAAAAAAUAGAAUCGAUAUUAUCUCAUGUCAGAAUAUUUAUCCAACCAUAAAUGAAUUAAAAGAGGAUAUAUUUGGAAUUUUAAUUUUUCCUUUAAAAAUAAAGGGGCAAAAGUGGUAGUAUAAAAGUUUCAUUAAAGUCUAUAGAGCUUCUUGCAUAAAUCAAAAAACGUCUUCUAAAAGAAGCUACCUUAUCCUUUCUUUUAUUUUAAACUAUUUUAAAAUUCAUAACACUAUGAUCAUAACUUCAACAUUACUAAGAGCUCGUUUGGGAUAUCAUCCUGUUUUUUGCCUUAGUUGGAAGUUGAAGCUUAAACCAAAAUCAUAAAUUUUAAAGCUCAAUAUUUGUAUUGUAAAAGUUUUAUUAAAAAUGAAAGAACUACUUGCAUGAGCUAAAAUAAAGUUUCUUCAAGAAGUAAUAUUUGUAUGACGUCCAUAUUGAGCUCUUUUAUAAGUCAUAAACUCUUUGAACAAAAUUACUCAAAUAGACACCAAAGCUCUUAUUAAACUUUUAAAAAAGCUUUUGGCUUCUCAUAAGUCAACCCAAACGGGGCCUAAAACAUUCAUAUUUGGCUUAAAAAAUUCUCAAAAGUCAAUCCAAAUUGGGCAUGUCUCUUACAAUGAAGUAUGGACCAAACACAACACACAACCACAAUACUUUGAUACACUUAUGACAUGAGAAAUCUUGAAAAAGUGGGAUGCUGAUAUGGCAAAGACAAUGAUCUACAAAGAUGUGUUUCUUCUGUAAUUGCAUUACAAAUAAUAUGUACAUAAGUUUAAUUGAUGUAAAUUUUUAUACCACAAUAUAUACCCCGGAAGAAGCUCCAAAACAUAACUUUUUUUUUAGAUGUAUUGGUAAUUUUCUGCUACUUGUUUCAUAGUUUUUCCUUGAAAUUCUUGUUCUUUUUCUAUAUUAUAGCUAUAUACUUGUGUCUUGAUGCCUCCAAGGCAUGUAUCUAGUCAUGGGAAAAAAUUAUGAUGAAGUUCUGGGCACAUCUGGGAAAUGUUUGAGUUCUGUCUGGGACUGUAAUAUCCAACACUGUCCCUGAUGUGGAUACAGUUCCACUUUGGAAGUUUUCUUGGUAUGAAAUAUCACAAGUCUGGAAGAGUUAUUUGUUUCUUUGUUUUUUUUUCUCCCCUGAUAGGCAGGGUCUGUAGGAAAUAAUUCGUGCAAAUGACUUGUGGCCUCUAUUGCCAUAAUCAAGACGAAUCUUUCUUUUCUUCCCAACAAAGGAGCUGUGCCAACUAAGUAUGGUUUCCUUGAUAGAGUAGGCCAUAACCCACUGAACACCAAAAAGAUAAAAAAUAAGCUGCCAAAUCAUGGCUGCCUUGGGACAGUGAAGAAACAAAUGAUUUGUUGAUUCCUCUUCUGAUUUACACAAAAAACACCUGUUUGGUAAAAAUCAACCCCUCCUUUUGAGUUGAUCCAUAGUUAGGAUUCUCCCCUAAAUAGCUUCCUAAGCAAAGAAAGCUAACCCUCUUUAGUACCCCAGGGUUCCAAACUAUGCUUGAAGGGAACUCUCUAGCGUUGCAAGGAACUAGGGAGUAAAAGGACUUAACAGUAAAGAGGUCUUUCUUUGAAACCCACCAAGACAUGACAUCCUCAUCGUCCCUUCUAAGCACCUGUUCGUGUAACCCUUUGAAAAAAGCUUUCAGCUCUCUCAUUUCCCAAUCCUUGUUAAGUCUUGUGAAUACAGGGUUCCAGUGACCCACUUCCCUUGUCUGUUCCCACAACUGAGCUACCAAGCAUCUUUAGAGGAGGCAAAAGAGUACAAGCUUGGAAAAGCCUCUUCCAAGGAAUCCUUUCCACACCACCUAUCCUUCCAGAACCACACUCUUCCACCAUUCCCCACCUUUUUUUUUAUUUUUUUUUUAUAAGUAAAUAAAGGGCUUGCAUUAGAAGUGCCAAAAGACGAAGAAAAAAGUACACACAAAGUAUACAAACAACGCCUGAAAAAAAAUUAAGUAGUGAGGAGACAAAAAAAAAGGGUCAUCCCCUUACUUGACAAACAACCAAUCUAUGAAAUUACUCAAGGACAAAGUGUGAUCCUAUAUGUACACUCUAGCCCAAUUCACAAAAGUAUACAAGAAAAGAGAUUUAAUUGCUUGGUCGGACCACUUGACAUCGUUGAAAGCUCUUCCAUUCCUUUUCUUCCAUAAGGUCCACAUUAAACACAAGGGGGCAGCCCUCCAUGCCUUCUCCCUUUUUUUACCCACAAAAGAGUCGUGUCAUCCUAGCAAAUUCCUUCUAACUGAAGAAUGCAAAACCCACUGCACACUAAAAAGGGAAAAAAAUCAAAAUUCACAACAUUCUAGCCUUGCCACAAAACAAGAGUAGGUGGUUGGUAGUUUCCUCCUCUUCUUUGCACAAGUAGCACCUAUUCAAGAUAUUCCAACCCCUUUUUUCAGCUGGUCUAUGGUCGGAAUUCUGCUCCAAGACGCCUCCCAAGCAAAAAAAACUCACCCUCACAGGACCCUAGGACUUCCAAAUGAUACUCCAUAGGAAUGGUUUUCUAAAAGCCCUCGUGUAGAAGCAGUAAAGGGACUUAACUCAGAAUUUGUCGUUCUUAUUAUCUCUCCAGCUCAUAAUUUCUUCCACUUCUCUUCUCACAACCAAGGGUUGUAGUUUGUGAAACAAAGCCUCCACCAUCCCUAACUCCUAAUCGUUAAGAUGUCUUGAAGAGCGGGGGCUCCAGCUACCCAAAUCCCCACCCUCCUCCCAAGCUUCUAACACCCAACCAUCUUUGUUAACUGUCAAACAAAAGAAGUUAGGGAAAGCUUCUUUCAAGAUUAACUGAGAAUUUGUUGCUCUUAUUAUCUCUCCAGCUCAUGACGUCAUCCACUUCUCUUCUCACAACCAAGGGUUGUAGUUUGCGAAACAAAGCCUCUGCCUCCCCCAACUCCCAAUUGUUAAGAUGUCUUGAAAAGAAGGGACUCCAACUACCCAAAUCCCCACCCUCCUCCCAAGCUUCUGACACCAACCAUCUUUGUUAACUGCCAAACGAAAUAAGUUAGGGAAAGCUUCUUUCAAGGUUAACAGAGAAUUUGCCAUUCUUAUUAUCUCUCUAGCUCAUAAGGUCCUCCACUUCUUUUCUCACAACCAAGAGUUGUAGUUUGCGAAACAAAGCCUCCUCCUCCCCUAACUCCCAAUCGUUAAGAUGUCUUGAAAAGCAUGGACUCCAACUACCCAAAUCCUCACCCUCCUCCCAAGCUUCUGACACCCAAUCAUCUUUGUUAACUGCCAAAUGAAAUAAGCUAAGGAAAGCUUCUUUCAAGGUUAGUUCCUCACACCGUAAAUCUUUGCAAAACUUAACCCUUCUCUCAUUCCCUACCAUGAAGUGGAAUCUACAUCUUAAUUGCUUCCAUUUAUUUCUAAUAGCUUUUCACACCCCCACACCAUAACCUUCUCUUCUCUCAAACACCACCCCCCAUCCUCUACUCCAUACUUCCCAAUGAUAAUUUGUUUCCAAAGAGACUCCCCUUUUGUUGCAAAUCUCCAACUUCACUUUCCGAGCAAGGCUUUGUUUAGGACCACAAAACUGCGGAUUCCUAGGCCACCCUCCUUCUUAUCCGCACAAACUAAAUUCCAAUUCACCAAAUGGGGUCUUUUUCCAAGGGCACCACCUCCCUAUAAAAAAUCCCUUUGAAUCUUUUUUAGUCUAGCACACACCUUUCUAAGAAUAACGAGAAGGGACAUGAAGUAGAUCGGAAGACUUGACAGGGUACUUUUGAUCAAUGUAAGCCUCCCACCCUUAGAGAGGUAUUCCCUACCUUAAAAGCCUCCCUUUUGCUAAACUCCAUUAACCCAUUCCUAAUCACCUUCCAAAUCCCACUCCAUAACCUUCCCUUGAGGCACGAGAACACCAUUCUCCCUCUUCCUCUCCAUAUUUCCCUAUAAUCACUUGUUUCCAUAAUGUCAACAAAUCUCCAACACCAUUUUUCAAGAAGAGCCUGAAUUAACAUAGAAAGAUUUAUGAUACCUAAGCGCCCAUCCUUUUUCUCCAUGCAAACAAUAGACUAAUUCACCAAAUGCAGCCUAAUUUGGGACUCUCCUCCCCCUAAAGGAGAUCUCUUUGAAUCUUUUCCAAACUUAAGCUCACCUUGCAAGGGAUGGCAAACAAGGACAUAUAGUAGAUUGGGAGGUUAGAGAGAAUGCUCUUUACCAAAGUCAAUCUCCCUCCUUAUGACAAGUACUAUCUCUUCUACAAAGCGAGCCGUUUCUAAAAUCUCUUCUCCAUUGCACGCCAAACACGAGGGGAUUUGAAAGUGACUCUUAAAGGAAGGCUAACAAGAUAGGAGAGAGCCCACUUUGCAACCUAGCCAAAUCCUCAAAAUUAGGAACCACCCCACUGGAAUCAACUCGCUUUUGUCUAAGUUGAUUUUUACGAACACUGCUUCAAACCACAUGAAUGCCCAACUCAAGACCUCCACAUGCUCCUUACUUACACCAUAAAAAAACUAGGGGUAUCAUCAGCAAAUAAAAGAUGAGACACUACCAGGCUAUCACCUCCUCUUUCACUAGCUAGGAAACCCUCUAGAAACCCUCCUUGUAAAGCUCUCUUCAAUAUACAAGAAAGCGCCUCCAUUGCCAAAACGAAGAGGAAAGGAGAAAGAGGAUUUCCCUAUCUUAGGCCUCUAGAACUUUGGAAAAAUCCUAUUGGGGAACCAUUAAACAAAAUCGAGAAACGAGUUGAAGAAAUACACCACCUCAUCCAACUUACCCACUUAGCCCCAAACCCCAUCUUUUACAUAUAUACAUACAUAUAUAUGUGUGUGUGUGGGUGAUUAGAAGAAUGAACAUGCCAUAAAUGAUGAAGUUCUUGGAUUUGAUACUACUCAAUAGUUAAUAAUGAACCUUGUGUUGAGCUUCAUGCUUGGCUCCAUUUCUUCCACAUGGACAUCUGGACUUGUCUUUUUAUUUUAUUUUAAUUAUUAUGUUGCCUUCUGUCUCAAAGAUAUUAGCAGGGUGAAAAGAGGGAAGUUCAUGGAUCGGGAAAAUGCUCAUCCUCCAAGUUGCAGAGCAGAUGCAGAUGCAUCUUCUAUACCUAUUGGAGGAACCCAGGGUACAAGAUGUAAGUGCUAUUUAUUCUUGCACUUAGCUUUAGUUUUCUGGAGCAGGGUAAAGUACCUUUGGCUUAUGCUUCUCUGGCUUAUUCUUUCUAAUAUUUGCACUUUUUCAUUUGUCUUUAAAUUAUUUUAAUAUUGUGUUAUAUUAUAAUCCUGAAUGAUGCAAGGUCAUCAGUAUGUAGUACCAUUAGGCAAAAUGUUAUUCUUCUGAUGCAAAGGUAAAAUGCAGGUGAUGAUCCAAAAACUUCUGAGUAUGCAUACUUUAAGAAAUUGAAGAAAGAUGCAAGCAAAAGUUUCUGUCCACUGCCUGAAGAGGAUGAUCAAUUGAAGAAAUUCAAAUCAAUUAACUGUAGUAGAGGUAGGGUCAAGCAGUAAUGCUUCUUCGUUGUUGUGUAGGCGUUACGCCAUAAUGCUUCUUGAUUGUUAUGUCGGUAUUGAGCAGUACUGUUUAUUAAUUUUUAUGUAGGUAGGUAUUGGGUGGUACUGGUUCUUAAUUGUUAUGUGGGUGUUACCAAAAUUUCUCAUAGUUGCUGAAGUUUUUAUUUAGUACAUGUCACAUGAUCCAAUUUGGAAUCAUUAAGACUAACAUUUUACUUUUAUAACAUGCAGAGACAAAGAACAUGGUAAAAGACAGCAGUAAGGACCUCAAGUCCUCAUUGCACAUUAAACAAUUUACACCUGUUAACUUCAAUUCAUUCCUCUCACCACAUGGAGGUGCAUCAAAGAAUUCAGGUAUGCACUGUAUUAGGGCAUUUAAGAAUAUUCUGAACACUACACUUGUCAUUAAAUGGCUCAAUUCAUUCCUCUCACCAUUUGGGGGUGCUUCAAAGAACUCAGGUGUGCACUGUACUGGGUCAUGUAAGAAUAUUUUGAACACUGCUCUUUUGAUUAGAUGGCUCUUUCUCACACACACACACGCACAAAAGAGAUGCCUAUUAUUAAAGAAAAAGGAAGGGGAUAUGUAAAAGAAACAAUAGUAGCUAUUUUUUAUGCCAUGUUACAUGCAUCUUCCCUAUAAUUAAAUAAAUUUUCUUCCCUCUAAUAUAUUCUGAGUCUUUUUCUAUCUUAUUUUUAUCAUGAAAAUUUUUAAUCGUGUACCAAUAACCAAAUGAAGGGUGCUCAUUACACAUGUCUAGAUGCAUUGUAUGAUUGUAAAAUUGGCAACAACAUGGCAGAUAUAAGUUCAAUUUUACCAUCCUGAGACCUUGUUUAAUCACAUGUUGGCUGGUGUUGCUAAGUCGAACAAAUCUCUUCCGAUGCUUAACAAGAGGUACAAAGUGUUGAUGUCAUCUUCUGUUUAGGUUUUUUCAGUUAAGUUUGCCAUGACAAUUGAUUUUUCUGUUGCACAUACAAUAUGACACUUGUGUGAGGCAACCAUCUUCUUUGUUUCUCUUGUACAUCUGUUUUCAUAUAAAAUUUGUGGUCCCCUCUUGGUCAUCUCCCAAUAACUAUGAAUAAGUGAAUCUAUUCCCCACUUAGCUAUCAGCAUGUCAGACAUGGUGAGAUAUACAUGUCAACUAACGUCCAGCACAUAUUUCUUGUUUGGGCACUUACAGAAGUAUCCUUCUUUAUUUACUCUAGAACAUAUAUGUAGAAGAAUGAGUGAAUUAUGCCCUUAUGUGUUGGAAUCUAUUUUAAAGUCAUCAGUUUCUUUACCAUUUUAGUCUCUGAAGUCUGUACAUAUGCAUAUGCAAACUCAAGCAAAGAUAAGUAAACACAAACAAACAAGCACAACUACACAGACUAACUUGUAAAGUCAGAAAUGCACAGAUAUGGCUCUGUACCCAUGUCCAGAUGAGGUGCCUAACCCUGUCCAGCUUGUUAGAUCAGUUGGUAGAUUGAAAUUAAGGUUCCAUAAUUUUCAAAAUUUUUCCCAAUUCUGUCUAGAGUAUGACAUGAGACUAGAUUAUGAAAUUUCUCACUUCCUCGAAUGUGGAUUACCUAUAGAAUCAAAUUUAUACUCUUGAUUCUACUUCUGCAAGUAAUGGCAUUUGACGAAUUUGUAGAUGUAGAUUUGAAGGGAGCUAGCACACUGUUGGGUGAUACAUGCAGCAUACUAAAAAACACAGGGGAAUGUAGUAAUGCAUCCAAAACUAGGGGUAUAUUUAUACUAAGCCCUAAUCAUUCUCAAAGAUGCUCCAUUUUGUGGCCAAGAAGAUGGAGGUGAAAAAAGAUAUAUGGAAGUUUACAAAGGGUUUUUAUGAGAUUGAAGAUGUUCUUCUUUUCCCCAUCUUCUUGGCUGCCAAAAAUAGAACUAAUUUUUGUAUAUUAGUGUGGAUAUGUAAAUCUUCUGAAAUUAUUUAUCAUUUCCAAAUCUCAAAAUUGAUGUUGCUGGCAGAUGCAUUUUUUAGCAUCAAUCUAACCAUGUAGGUGUCUCCACUUAAAAAUUUUAAAGAAUUCUUUGUGAAACCAAAGUAAAUUAUUUUCAAAUCCUCAGGAACCCAGUGCAUAGAUGAAGAAGCUUUCUCUAGAAAGAGACAGAAAUUACGUCAGUGGGUAGAUACCUCAUUUCCUGAAAUUGAUGCACUCUAUUCGAAGGGGUUAGGCAUUUGACCUUACAUAAAUUGUUUAAUUUCCUGAAGCUUCUCAUUAUAGAUUCAGUAGAAAAUUUCUCAGGUAUGAUUUCAUUUCUGUGCUACUCAGUCGGCUAUCCCCUAAGACUAGUGAAAACAAGGUAUGCUCUUUCAAUUUUCAUUGGAUCUUAAUCCUCUUUUGGUCCUUGAUUAUCGUUCUGAAAACUAAUUUCUUUAGCAGAGUUCUAAGGGUCAAAAGAUGCAGCCAGUGGAGAUUGAUAUGAAAUUGAAGUUACAGACUUUUUCUGAGUCAUAUAUUCACUCCAACAAACUUCAAUAUAGUCCAAUACAGAAUUUUAGGAGACUUGAAAAUGGACCAUACUUGAAUGAUGGUUCUUCAUUUUGUCAGAUUGACAACUCAAAAGAAAAACUUCUGUGGAAAUGGGAUUUAGGUUCCCCCCCUCCAACCUGCCCACCUAGCAAAUUCCAUCUUCAAUACCAAAAGCAGAAGCCUGAUUGUGACUUAGAUGGUGAAAGCUCUGCAUGUUUGUGGACUGAGAAUGAUUCAACUUCUGAUUUUUCAUUUGAAAAAUAUGGACUGGCUGUAUCAAGCCAUCUCAAGGAACUGGAUGAAUUCCAUGGCCAGAAAGAACUGAUGCUUGGAAGUGAAACACACUCUCUCUUGCUGGAUUGGGAUUUUGACAACAUGAAAGGUGACGAAAUAUUAAGUAUUGCCUCUCCCAAUAUGGACCUCGACAUGAAUUCCACAUUACCAAUUUCAUUGGCUGAUGAUUAUUGGCAGAGUGGAGAUAAUAGGUUUAAUGCAAGUGGGUUGUUUCCAUCAUCGUUACUAUCCUAUACUUCAUUAACACACUCAUAUUCAGAUAGCUAUCACAACUAUGACCAUGGACAACAUAGCCUUGAAGAGAGAAAAUGUCUGGUUGCAAAGCUGCAUCAUUUUCCUUUAACCUUAUCAUACUGUCCUAAUCUUACUGAAUAUUGCACUUAUGACUACACGUGCAAAGAUGGCAGCAUUGUCUGUUCUCCUCAAGGCCAUCAUUGGUCCAUGAGCAUGUUUUUCAAUGAGAAGCAGCAUCCUGGUUUGGAAGCUCUUCUCCUUUCUUCUGGAUUUGAUUUUGAUUUAAGACAGAAGCACUUCUUGUUAACUGAUUACCCUGGAGAACAUCACUCAUCUGCUUAUCAGGCUCUUCAAUUUCCACAAAAGGAAGGCAUAUGUUCGCACUUUGUAGAAGAUGAAUUUACAAGUUGGCUGGACAACUCAAAUCACAAAGAAACCCUUGGUUGUUUUUCUGGAGAUAUACUGAACAUCGGUGACUGGUCCUCCAUUAAUUUGCUGAUGUCUCUCAACAAAGAAAGGGCAUGUCCUUUGCUGCUUGAUAAAUCAAGCUGGGUUGUGUCUGAAGCAGAAACGGAUAUUGAUGAUUGUGAAGGCAAACACACUUGAUGGAAACAUAUGCAUUGUUGGUGGGACCUUCAUGAUUCAACUAAGGGUGCCAAUUGCUGGAAGGUGGUGUUGCUUUUCGAUCUUCAUUGCAAAUGGUUCAUCAUGGGUAGUUACAUACAUCAAUGAAAAAAUUUUAAUGUUUGAAGCUUUUAGGUAGAUAUAAUACUUGGAUACUUAUGACAAUUGCUUUACUCGAAUACUCUUAUCAACUCACAUCAUAUGCUGUUGGUUGAAACAUAAAUGUUCAACUUCCAUUGUACAUCAUCAUAACAUUCACUAUUAAAGAAUACAAUAUUACCAGAAUGGAUGAUGCUAGCUUAAAGUUACUGCAUUUCUGAUUUUGAAAUCUUCUUGCAUAUCAAUCACUAUUAAGAUAUUAGAUCAUAUAAUCUUGGUUAUAGCGUAACUUAAUGACUGGUUAUUUCCAGCUUUAGCAGAUAGAUUAUAGCAUACAGUCUGCUUUGAAAUGUAUAUUUUGUGGUGCAGGUGCCAUCAUUUCCUGGACACUUAACUGAGAACUUCAGUUCUGAUUGCACCUAAAUAUUUCAGAUUUUGGAAGGGCCUUAUUUUAGGUUGUGCUUCAUUUUGUGGAAGUCAUUUUCAAAUGUAUAUCUUCUUCUGUUAACUACCUUACUAAACAUCUGGUCAUAAGUUGAUGUGAUUGGUAGGUUAUGAGUCUUAAAAAUUUUUGUUAGAUAAACAAUAUGAAGAUAGUGGAUGUGAUUGGUAGGUCACGAAUCUUGAAAAGACUUUUAUGUUAGAUCUUUUUUAAAAGAUUGUGUAAGUGUUGAAUAUAUUGGCAGGAAAUCUUAUCUUGGGAGAUUUAUCGAUCCCAAGUUCUCUACCAUGUUUUCCUAAUUUAAGUUUCCUCUAUUCAAGUCUUGUUUUCCCAGGAAAACAACCCUAGAUGGGGCAAACAGCUCCAGGAAACUCCACAGAAGCUGCUAUCUUCUUCUGGUAAGUUCCAUUGAUCUCGGAUUGCCUACUCCCUUCAUUUUCUGGGUUGCCAAACCUUUAGUACCUCGAGGAUAACUUACACUGCAUUCAAGCUACUCACUUUGCAUUUAAUACUGCCUGUAAGUUUUUUUAUGGGAUGGUGUAAAAGAGAACUCAACUGGUAUUUUAUUUACUUAGUGUUGGGACAGUGCUUUUAAACAUUGCCUUAUGCAUUGAAGGCAAAACAUUCAUCAUCAUGCUGCAGUGUUGAGAUUGCAUUUACACAAAAUCAAUACGUCACCAAAAAACUGGCUGAGAAGCUCUGUGGAUACCACUAGAAACCCUUAUUUUUGUGAUUAAAAAUCUGAGUAGCAUUUCUUUAUUUCAUUUCUACUAGAAUUGAUACUAUUCUGAGAUUUGUUGCUGGGUUUGGUGCACAUCUUUAAUGGUGUGGUACCUUGGAGAGAUGGCCUUUGGCAUGUGCCAGAGCCAAGUUUGGGGAUGUCCUUCAAUUUUGCACAAUGUUUGAGAUUGUGCCUGGCCUCUUUUUAGGUGCUGGGGGGGCCUUGGGCCCUUUAUGAAGCACUAUGUCUUUAAUGACUCUUCUCUAGUAUGCUUUUCUCAUUGUUGUUUUGCUUCUGGGUACCUUUACAAUCGCAUCUCAUUAAAUCUAUGGUCACAACCUAAACAACCAUCAUUUUUGUGCAAUUCUUGAAUCAUGUUAAGCAUGUUUAACAAGUGCUAUAAAGUCCCUCCGCAACUACCCCUAUUUUUUGUUCUCCAUAAAGAUAGCCUACGACUUGUAUACAGGGUGUAAGUUAUUAAAAAGUCUAGUAUCAGUCUUAGGUGGUGUUUGUUUUUUUUGUUGAAUAGAAAAAAUCAAAAUAUUUAACUUUUUCUAUUCAGUUAAAAGUAAUAUGUUGACAUCAUUCAGUAUAACUAAAGUGAAUUUAUUAUCAAUAAGUUUAAUUUAGUUAUGUUGGAUAAUGUCAACGAAUUACUUUUAACUUAAUAGAAAAAGCUAAUAUUUUAACUUUUUUUUAUUCAAUCAAAAAACAAACACCACAUUAAUCAUCGAUAAAGUUCUCAAAUGGUUUCUGAGGCAUAGGUAAAUUAUAAUUUUUAAAAGAUAAUAUUGAUAUAUUAAUAUUUUAUUAAAUAUAAAAUAAUAUCUAAAUAUAAAAGAAAAUAAAUUUUAAGUCAUGAGUUUUUCUAAUAAAAUUAUUUAAUAAACUUAAAAGUUUUUACCCACCUUUACCUAAUAACGGUUGACUUUUAACAAGUCGAUUUGAAUAGAAUCUUUGGUAUUUUCACUUAUGUAUAAAAUUAUUUUAAUUUUUUAUAAUAUUUGUACCUAUAAUAAAAAAAAAUGUGUGCAAAAAUUAUAAACAAAUGAAGUGGAAUAAUUAGCGUAAAAUUGAAGUCAGGGCUGAUUUUAAAAACUAAAUCAAGUGCCCAUCUUGUCGUUGGUAAGGCAAAAACCAUGGGCCACAUUCUCCCAACUAUUCACUCCAAACAAAAACAAACUAUUCUACUAUUUAAUCACGAGCUUUACCGUCCACGGACAACGUGAACUGCCUCCGCAAGUGGGUUAGUUUUGACACGUGUCGUGACCCCACUGGUCUCCGCAACAUCCUCCCUCGACACCCACCCACUCCCCCGGUGCCCCCGCCACGUCAUACGACCAGGGCAGCCUCCGUGACACUCCGCUCUUGAAGACCACGCGCCCCACCGGAGGAUCUUGUGCUUUUACCAUAGCGCCCCCUCCCUCAUUAAAUCGCCUGCACGUGACGGUUGAUGCCACGCUGCUGUCGCGGGGCUCAGUGAUUCGGUGCUAACGGGUGUACACACUGUAGAGUACUGAUCUCGCAGUCUCGGUACAUCCUCCAGGUCAUGGUUCUCCCUUUAUCUCAAUCAUACGGCCCACUUUGAUUUAUUCUACAUUUGACUUGCUGAUUCAAUCAUCCAUAAUGUAAAAUGGGGUUUCACCUAAAUCAACUAUUUUUCCUUUGUCCUUCUAAUCUCAGUGUACGUUUAUCCACUGUUACAACCAACCCUUGUUGUUUUGUUUAAAAAUAUUAAUGAAAGGACAAAAUAAUAAUAACCACUGCCAUUUAAAGUAACUAAAAUGAUAAACAAAUUCCACCAAAUCAAGAAUUCCCCCUGUUUUUUAUUCUCUCCUUCCAAUCAAUUAUUGAUGUUUAUCACACCAUCUAGAUUAAUUAAGCCCAAUUUUUAAUUCUUAAUUUGUGAAUUUCCAUGAAUUCCAAAUCCUGCACCUAAUCUAAGACUUAAAUGGAAGAGAGGUUAGAUGGCAGAUACAGUAUAGAUAUAUAUAUUAAAAAUUCUUUUCUGAAAUUGUUUUAGUUUCCAUGUUUAGUUAUACCUAACAUUAAGCAUUUCUUUAUACUUUUCUUUAACUUAAAUUUGGUUGAAUCUGAAAAAGGGUUUUAGGCUCAACUAAGGAGCACUUUUUACAUCCUUCUUUGAUUCUAUUUUCUUUUCUUUUUUAUGCGCUAUAUUAGAAAUAAUUUUUUUUUAAAUGCAUAAGGUAUUACAUCAUCUUCAUUGUAUUCUUCAAAUUGCAUGAUCAUGACCUAACACGUAUGAUUUGUUAAGCUCAUUUAACAAAUGGGUUAAGUUCAAUUUUUUAUGAAUUGGUACGAAAAACUUUUUAAUACAUUUCUAAUAUAUUAAAACUAUUAAUACGAUUAAGUAAACAAGUGGAACAUAUCAUAAAUAAUUUGGGUCAUAAAUGAAUCAUUUUGAUACGAUUAAAUAAACAAGUUUGAUGAGUUAAACAAUUAAGAUCUACUCAUUUAGAUCAUCUAAAGCCUUUAGCUCUUUGAAUCCUUAUUUGUUCUAUCGUAUAAAAUCCUCAUGUGAAAAACAAUUCUUUGCUUGCGCUAAGUAGAUUGACAUGAUUUUAAGACAAACAUGAUUACACUAAACUUGAAUAUGCUAAAUUUCAUAUUUUUUUUGUCAUAGUGUCAUAUCCUAUAAAAGUUAAUGCCCCUAACUUUGACUCUGAUUGUUUUUAUUUAUUUUAUUUUAAUAUUAUGCAUACAUCUUAAUAAAAUGGUGUUUGUUUGUUUGCUUUUUUUUACUCAAUUUUAAAUAUAACUUAAAACAAAAUAUUAUUUAAUAGUUUUAAGUUUUAAGUUGUUUUAUAUAUUUUUUUAAUAUUUUCUUUUUAUUAAGUAUUAAAAAAAAAAUUUUGUUUUUUUGUAUUUUUUUUUUCAAAAAAAGCUCAGUUAUGUUGAUUGAGGGUGAAGUUGGAUCUUCAGAUUAUGUUUUAUUGGUUGGUUUCAAUGAGUUAUGCUAGUUGAUUUCAAUAAUUUACUUUUAGCAUUAAGAAAAAGUCAAAUAUUUUAAUUUUUUUAUUUAAUAAAAAAAUUUUAAAAAUAAAUAACUAGUCAACAAAAAAUUAAAAAACAAAUAAUACCGAUGUUGAAAAUAAGUUACUAUUAAUAAUUUAUUUAUUUAUUUUAUAAAAAAAAAAACAUCAUCUAAGAUCAAAUUAUGUAAGAUUAAUUGCAUGAAAUGGGUUAUUUUUUUAAAUCCAUUAUUAACUUUAUUUAUUUAUAUAUAGAUAACCUAUUUCUAAAACUACUAGACCCUUCUACUCCUCUAUUUCCUAUAUACCACACUAGAGGAGGUUCCAACACCUUGCAUGUCAAUUCAUACUUUAUGGAAAUGUAAUUUAGCAUGCCACCCACUAUAGUUUUUGCAUUUCCUUUUAAAGGAUCCACCAUGGGAAAGUGACCUUUUUCAUGCCCUUUCCAUAAGUUUAUUCAAUUCUUGUCUUUUUCUACUACCCAAAUCUCAACCCUUCAACAAUUACAUCAUUAUGUAGUUACACCCCCCUAAUAGCUGAAUUAAAUACUCAUCAUUCCAUGAAAAAUACCUUCCCAAGUCCCUUUCACUCCCUCUCAAAAUGAUCCCAUUGACAAUGAAAAGAGAUUCGGUUGAUGGCCCGUCAAAAGAUUUUUUGUUCUAUUCACUUGUGACAACAUCCCUAGCUUAAAUCAUUCAUUUUGAUGCACAAGUAAUAUAUUGAUGGGGGCGGGCUCGCUCACGUCUUUGAAAUUAAUUAUUAAAAAUAUUCGAAAAAAAGAAAAAAAUUAAAAAAAUUAAAAUAUUAAAAUUAGAAAAAGAGAACAGGGUUUUCUUGUUUGGUUUUAAGUUUUUACUGAUACCAAAAAUUGUAAAAAUAAUGUAAUUAGAAUUUUAUAUAAUAACAUUCUUAUGACCAUUAUGCUCUCGUGACCUGAAUCCAUGAUGAUGACUCUCUCUUUUAACAUGUGGUUCUCGUAGUUCAUGUUUAUGAUUAUGAUUCUGAUACUAAUUCUUGAAAUCAUUAGGAUAACUCAUUUUUAAGUUUAAUAGAGAUAUUAUUAUAUAAUUGAAAAAUAGUAAAAAUAAUGUAACUAAAAUUUUAUAUAAUAACAUUUUCAUGACCAUGAUGUUCUCGUGGUUUGAAGUCAUAACGAUGACUCUCUUCUAUCACGAGAUUUUUGUGACUCAUAUGUAUGAUGAUGACUUUGAUACCGAUUCUUGAAAUCAUUUAAAUGACUUAUUUUUAAACUUAGUAGCGAUAUUAAUAUAUCUCAAUAGACAUGCCAUGAGAUUGAUGAUAUUAUAAUAGUAAUUAUUAUUUUUAUUAUAGACACAACAUGAUUUACUAUUAUAUUUUUAUUUUUAAUUUAUAUAAUAAUUUUUUAAUAUAUUUAUAAUUAAUUAUUUAAAAGAAAUUAUUUUUUGAUAUAAGAUAAUAAUGUAUAGUCUAAUAAUUAAACAAAACUUUCAAAAUAACAUUUAAUUUCAAAUAUAUAUGCCAUCAUCUUUAUUCCUAUUUAAUAUUUUUUAAAUGUAUAAUAAUUUACAUCCUCUUUUAUAUUGAUUUAAUUAUUUUUUAUUUUUUAUUUUCUAAAAAAUCAUUUUUAUUUUUAUUAAGAAAAUUUGGAAAUAUCUCAUAGACGUUUUUCGUUUUUUUUUUUUUUCCAUUUUUGAGCUAGUAUUUUAAAAAAUGAUAACAAAAACACACUUUUCAAAUUUGUUUUAAUUUUCUAGUUUCUUUAAAAAAAAAUUAAAAAUAGAAAAGAAUCUAAAUCAAUGGAGAACAAAGAGUGCCAUUAUGGUAAUUAAAUUGGAAAAGAUGUCCUACUUAUACCAUCAAACUUUUCCUGAUUUAUUACCGUUAGACGACGCGUUUCGGGAUGUCGAUGUAAUUUAGGAAUGAAUAUUAAUGGUUAUUACUAAUUUUUAUAUUUAUUAUUUUUGGGUCAAAAUAAAUAAAUGUUAGGUUUUUGAAGACCAACAAUAAAUUAUUUAUUUAUUUUUUAUUAACUUUGGAUCAUAAUUUUCUUAAUUUGGUAAAAAAGAAUGAAAUAAAAUCUUAGGUCUUAGGGCAGGGGCACGAAUGAUAAUAGGCCUUUAGGGGAGGCUAGCGAGAAAAAGACGGAAAUAUGGGGGUGUGACAUGAAAAUAUGAAAGAUUACAGGGAUGAUAACGCAAGACUGUGUAAAAUAUUAACAAUGUUAUCUGUGAUCACCUGGUUUUCAUACUUCGCUUUCUCUCUCUCCAUCUAGUCUCUUCGGAAUCGAAACACGUAAAUCAAUCAAAAUUAAAUAAAGUCAUUUCAAGUCCGUCAGCGUCGGUGCGAAGAAGGGAAGAAAAGCCACUUCCGCUCCCCCACUCCGUCGCUCGAUCCUGUCCGAUUCUCCGGCCUCAUUGCCACCGGAAUGUAAGAUUCCGGCUACCUCUAUCCGGCCACACCGCUGCUCACCGCCAGGUCCUAGUCCUUUAUCUUGCUCUGCAACUUUUUCUCUCUACAACUUUCUCUCUCUACUAUGCUUCAAUUUUUUCUGUCAGUAGCUUUUUGCCACUCUUACGAUCUCGCACUUUUCAAUGCUUUGUUUGUCUCUCUCUAAGACUUUCUCUCUCUAGAUUGCCUUUUCUUUUGGUCUGCUGUACUCGCAGCUUUCUGAAGCAAAUUGCAAAUCUCGAUUCUGGACUUCUGGUUUUGUUGUUGUUGUGUUUUUUUUGGGGAGCCGGGGGCUAAUUUUGUUCUCAGUAAUCAGUUUUAUGUUUUCAUUGCAGUGAUUUUAAAUAGUAGUUUUGGUUUGGCUUUUUUAUUUUUAUUUUUAUUUGAUUAUGAGUUUAGGGUUUCAAAUUGAAUGGAUUGCGCAGUUUGAGUGAAUUGAGGGCCUUACAGCGACGUGUGAUGUGAUUUUUCAUGGGAAUUAUUCUCUGCGGACAGUAGAAAUGUCUCUUUAUUCUUAUUCUUUCUCAUAAAUCUAGGUGCUGUGACCUGUGGGUUUUAUCCUCCUGCAUCUACUACGCGCUUAGAACUUGCAGAUUUUGAAUUCUCAGCCUUGGAUUUGUGGUUGAUACUGUCUCUAUUGCAAAGAAGACUGGGUUUUAUUUUUAUUUUAUGAUCUUUUAUUUGGAGUAAACCUGUGGUCUAUUUGGAGGUUGGUUUUGUUGUAUAUGCUAUGCAAAUAUUUUGAAGUUAUCUUCUUUGUAUGAAGUGUACUACUAUUCAACUAUUCCGUGGCUUGAAUGCAGCUGCACUUCUUUUCCUGCUGUUGGCUGUAGUCUGUACUUUCUGUUUCUUGCUGCAUUUUGUUGAUUUUGCUGACUGGUCAAAAGAAACGAGUUCUUUCCAAAUUUGUAUAUUAUAGGCAUUAAUUGGUAUUAACUUUGCCAACUUUCCGAUCUCAGUUGCUGAAAUGAGCGGGAUUCACAACAGCAAAACUCGGGGUUUUGAGAAACCAUUUCCGGGAUGCUUGGGAAGAAUGGUUAACCUCUUUGAUUUGAAUGCAGGCAUGCCUGGAAACAGGAUGCUUACUGACAGACCCCAUCAGGAUGGUGAGGUUUUCUUUGCAUAGGUUUCCUUUUUCUUAUUAUUUUUUCAUUCCCACCAGAAUUUCUAUUUAGUUUGCAGAACAAGCUUGAACAAAAAUUUGUGAUAUAUUGUGUUUAGGUUCUCCUACCUUCCUAAGUGUUCUUACAUGUUGAGAGGGUAUAGGGGAAUUAAAGUAUUGAUUGGGUUCUAAUGUGAUUGGUUGAUUUGGUAAAUUAUUUAAUUGGUUGAUAGUUACUCUGAAUUCCAGCAGAAAGGGGGUAGUGUUUGCGUGGUAUACUUGGGCCUGAUCAAAUUUUGUGCUCCAAAAUUGGCUCAGAAGUCAUAACAAGAAUACAUACUCCCCAAUUUUCUUAUAUUUUAAAUGACUGAAAAUAGAAUAUUGAAGAUUUGGUUUAUUUAUGAUAAUUUCUCUGGUUUCUUUGUAGGCGUUUCUCUUAGGGCUUAAAUAUUUACAGGUUGAUCUUGAUUGCUUCCUUUGAUUAGUUGCUCCCCUUUCACUCUCUUGAGGGUAUAAAUGCAUGAGAUAAAAUCAAUUUUUAGACCUGAAAAGCUUCUGAUUAGAAUAAUUCUCUCAGUUAAAAUGGUACUAAAUUCAUGAUUAUUGCCUUCUUUGUAGCUCCUAUGAUAGGAAGGUUGAGUACCAUGAAGGCUACUUUCCUUAUGACAUCUUUUAUUAUCUUCAGUUUUAUAUUGCUAAUAACAAUAUCAAGUCAAUUGUUGACAUGUCCAUUGAUUAUCAGGUUCUCCACUUUCAAGAAGUCGAUCUGAUGUGGCAAGGGUAUCAAGUCCCACUGGAGAUCAGGUAGAGGAUAAACCGGUAAUCUUUUUAAUCUUUCUAGUGGUAAUAAUUAUAUAGAAUUCAAAACCAUGUGUAGUGGGUCUGUCUUGGAUAUGAAUUAUUGUUUUGUUGUCCUGAUAUGUGUUGCAUUCAUCUUCGCUGUGCAGAUGGUGUCUGAGUUAAGCAGAACUUCAAACAGGAAGUCAAAUGGGACACCCGUGAAGAUGCUCAUAGCCCAAGAAAUGUCAAAAGAAGUGGACUUGAAGCAUAACCCGCCCGGUGUGGUUGCCAAGUUGAUGGGUCUUGAUGCCCUCCCAGGCCGGCAGCCUGAUCUAUCUCCACAAAGAAGCCAUUCAAAUGGUUAUUCACGAAAUAUUUCCACUCAUUCAGGGAUACCAUUGGGAUGUUGGCAGCAAGAACAUGGCUUCUUUGACAAGCAAAUGCAAAAUGAUGGUCAUUGUUGUCAGGACCAGAAUGACUAUAAAGAUGUUCAUGAAAUCUGGCAGCAGUCUCAGAAAACCAAUUACAUAAGAGAUAAAUCGCCACAGAAGGGACGACAAGGUGAUAAUGCAAAUGAGAAAAAGAUGGCUCUUGUUCGCCAAAAGUUCAAUGAAGCAAAAAGUCUGGCCACAGAUGAAAAACUUCGCCAGUCUAAAGAAUUUCAAGAUGCUUUGGAAGUUUUAAGUUCCAACAGAGAUUUGUUCCUGAAAUUUCUGCAAGAACCAAAUUCCCUGUUUACUCAGCAUCUAUAUGAAUUGCAGUCUAUUCCUGCACCUCCUGACACUAAGCGUAUCACUGUCCUUAAGCCUUCAAAGGUGAUGGACAAUAACAAAUUUGCUGCAUCUGGAAAGAAGAUUGAAAAACAGAUAAGGAAACCAGUCCAGAUAGGUCAAGCAAAUUGUUGGGAAAAAAAUAAUCCUGGAUAUUCCCCUCCUUUUUCCAAUCAGAAAGCUGAUGAAUAUCCUCCUCAACCAACUCGAAUAGUUGUACUGAAGCCUAGCCCUAGUAAGGCUCAUGAAAUCAAGGUUGUUGUUUCUCCACCUUCCUCAUCUCCAAGAGUACUGUGUGAUGAAGAUUUCCAUGGGGAACCAGAUGAUGAUGAGGCAUGUGAAUCAAGAGAAGUGGCAAAGGAGAUCACAAGGCAGAUGCGUGAAAAUCUGAGUGCUCACAGGAGGGAUGAAACUUUGCUUUCUUCUGUGUUUUCCAAUGGUUAUAUUGGUGAUGAAAGUUCAUUUACUAAAUCAGAAAAUGAGUUUGCUGUAGGAAACCUUAGUGAUUCAGAAGUCAUGUCACCAACUUUGAGGCAUUCUUGGGAUUAUAUUAAUAGCCCAUAUUCUUCCUCCUCCUUCAGCCGAGCAUCAUAUUCUCCAGAGUCAUCGGUUUGCAGAGAAGCCAAGAAGCGUCUUUCUGAAAGAUGGGCCAUGAUGGCAUCAAAUGGUAGUUGUCAGGAACAGAAACACGUUCGGAGAAGCUCUAGUACAUUGGGUGAGAUGCUUGCUCUUUCUGAUAUAAAGAGAUCAGUAAGACUUGAGGAAGUGGAUAUUAGUAAAGAACAAGAUCCACGGGGAUCAACUUCAUGUGUGACUAGUAAUUUGGUUAAGGAUGAAGAGGCAGAUAAUUCACCUAGAAAUCUUCUGAGGUCAAAAUCUGUCCCUGUGUCAUCCACAGUUUAUGGUGCCCGACUCAAUGUUGAAGUUUCGCAUCCAGAGGUUGGCAAAACACAUGUUCCUAAGGAGCUGACGAAGGCAAAGAGCACAAAAUCAUCAUUCAAAGGGAAAGUUUCAAGUUUAUUUUUCUCUAGGAGUAAAAAAUCAAGUAAAGAAAAAUCUGGUGUAUCUCUAUGUAGAGAUGAAUCUCCAUCUGCCACUGCUGAAACUCUUCCAGUACAUAUGACUGCUGGGAAAGUUUGUGAUGAUGUGUCUCAGUGUGCUAAUGACAGUGGUACUGAAGAGGGCAUAUCUCAUGGUCUACGCAGAUCAUCAAGCAAACCUUCUUCCCCAGAUUUAAUUGGAAUGGUACCAACGCAAUCCAUAAUUUCUAAUGAGGUAUUUCAAUAUUCUUUAUAUUUUUAUCCAUGCUUCCUCUCACUAGUUUGCUUAUGUUUGUUUGAAAUAUAUUUUUAGCUGUUGGCUUUCUUGUUUUUGGAGUGGUAAGCAAUGGCGAUAGUUGUGAGAUAUUGGUUCAAAAGCUGUUUUAACUUGCAUUCUGAAAUGUUGCUGCUCUUUUCGCUAUACAAAAGUUUGAAAGCCUAUAGAUGUGUUAUGAGAUAUUCCCACACUGCAUAUUUCAGUUCAGCCUCAGGAACUUCUUCCAUUCAUAUGCUUUACUUAAUCACACUGUUUCCUAUGAGUUAAUUUUGUCUCUAUUUUGAGUUGGAUGGAAUGGAAUGGAUUGCUUCUGUGAGUCAAUUGAAGGUAGAAUAGAAUAUGUUAAAUCUAUCAUGGAUUCUGACAUGAGGUUGUGCAAUGCGGUAGUCACCUCUAAGCAAAGUAAAUUUGAAAGGUGCAUCCUUUUUUGGAAUGAUAUUCCACUGAAAUAUGUGUCGGACAUGAUAGCAGAACCAAAAAAUGAAGAAAGCCUAAGAUAGGACAGUCCUUUUUUUUAGGCUAUGUUUGUUUCUCGGAAAGUUCUAAGAAAAAAAAAUGGUAAGAAAAAUGAUUUUCUCAUGCUUGGUUUUAUCAUAAAAAAUAUGAAAGUCAAAUAUGAUUAAAAUUAAUAAAUUUUUUAUAUAUUUUUAAAUUAUUUAAUCUUUAUAUAGUAGAGUUACAUAAGUUAUAUAAACUUAAAAAGAGUUUAUUAACUUUAAAUCUGUUUUUUAUUUUCCUUUAGUUUUUGUUUUCUUUCAAUUUUUCUCUCUAUUUUCAUUCAUUUGCAUAUUCUGUUGAACUUUCCAGGAACCAAACAUAGCCUUAGGGUGCUCUAGAUAAACUUGUGUUGAUCAACUGUUGUUAGCUGUGACAAUCAAGCAUAUGCUCUUUGUAUCUUCAGUAUGCCAUUGUAAAAUGGUAGUGGAAUAGCUAACUGCAUCCGUUUAGCUUGGUUCCACAUGUUACCAUGAAUUGGAUUCCUUAGUAAAUCUUUGAGUCUACAUACGCCUAGCUUGGUUCCAAACAUUACCAUGAAUUGGAUUCCUUGGUAAAUCUUUGAGUCUAUAGAAUGUCAUGACAAAGUCUGUUGUCCAAGAUAAUCAUACUAUGGGAUCAUUGAUCAGGAGUUUCUUUACUUUUUGCAGGCUGGAUUGUCUGUGGCAAAGCCUGUCACACCCGGAAACCCAAGUGAGAGUCAGGGCCAGCCAAGUCCAAUUUCAGUCUUAGAACCACCUUUUGAAGAGGAUGACAACACAAAUCUAGAGUUCGCUGGCAAUAUCAAGACAGACCAACAGGGUAUGUAUUGUUUGUAGUUGCAUUAGAAAAGGCUUUUUUUCUUUUUAUGUCUUUUUUAACCUCUCUUGCUUCAUUUUUUUGCUGUAUUCCAUGGCUUUCUGAACAGGUACUCAGGUUCUUGUUCAUCCUCUUAAAUCAAACUUGAUUGACAAAUCACCCCGUAUAGAGUCAAUUGCUCGGACUCUAUCAUGGGAUGAUUCUUGCACAGAGACUGCUACACCAUACCCAUUGAAACCCUCCUUGGCUUCCUCAAGAGCUGAGGAAGACGAACAGGAUUGGCUUUUCUUUGUUCAAACACUAUUAUCAGCAGCAGGCUUUGACGACAAUGUGCAAACCGACACAUUUUUUUCCAGAUGGCAUUCACCCGAAACCCCAUUGGACCCAGCAUUGAGAGACAAAUAUGCAGAGCUGAAUGACAAGGAGAUCCUCCAUGAGGCUAAGAGAAGACAACGGAGAUCAAAUCGGAAGCUAGUUUACGACUGUGUAAAUGCAGCACUUGUGGACAUCACAGAUUAUGGGCCAGACUGUACGCAAAGGGCCAGGAGGUGUAGUGGGGCCUACAACACAGGGGUAGAGGGUGGAUCAUCCUCACCCAUCCUAGUGGAGCGGGUGUGGGGCAGGAUGAAGGAAUGGUUUUCUGGUGAGGUGAGGUGUGUUUGGGGUGAGGGUGGGGACAACGACCUGGUGGUAGAGAGGGUGGUGAGGAAGGAGGUGGUAGGGAAAGGUUGGGUUGAGCACAUGAGACUGCAAGUAGAUAAUAUAGGGAAGGAACUAGAAGGGAUGUUGCUUGAAGAGCUUGUGGAAGAGGCUGUGGUUGAGUUGACAGGUAGAGUGUGACGAGGCAUUUCCUUUUUAUUAUUAUUAUUUUUUUUCUUCAAAUCUCCAAACCAACCCACCACCCCCCUCCCCUGUUUUUUAUUUGUAACUCUAUUAUUUGUGUAUCCUGAUUUUCAGCACUCUUAUUUGUUUAAUGCUGCAAAUUAUUGGAAUGUGUAUUUCUUUGAUGUUUGAUUGUUUUUUUCUUUUUCUUUUUUUCUGGUCCUUUGUUUAAUAUAAUAAUAAUAAUAAUAAUAUAUUAUGAACAUAUCAUAUAAAGAUAAUAAUUAUGUAUUUAGUCAAUACGUUUUGAGGUAUGGUACCUGCACCCGACUAUUUGUCUUUACUCUUUUAUCUUUCAUAUCUUCCUACCCAUUUGACCCCAGAGGCUUUGUUUGUUGGGGGCCAUUACACUGUUGUCUUUGAUAUGAUGGAUGGAUGGAGGGUGGUGAAAUGGAGAGCUUACCCAUGUGGCCAACAAAAAAAAACGAGUGUUGUUUUGUGUAAAAUUUAAACUUAUUGUUAUUUGGACCUGUGAUUCUUAGUGGAAGUAUUAGCUGUUUGUGGCAUAUGAGGACACAUCCCCACCCACUUGAAUCUGAAUGCUCUCUCUGACACGCACAACAACCAUAUCCUCUAUCCUGAAACUUUCUUUUUCAUAUCAAUGUCAAAUUGGGUUGGGUUAGGUUGGGUUCUAGGGUUGUUAAAGUAAUAAAGUCUACAUAUUGAUCCUCAGUUGAGUGGAUUGGGUUCAUGCAAAUAAGAGAUUGUUGGAUUUUGAUGACUUUUUGUUCAGUCACAGGGGUUUUUGGUGACAAUCAGGCCUUUGAUUUUUUUGUUGAAUUUAUCAACUUUUUGUGUUUGUUGUUUAACACCGAUCAACCAUCAUUUUUGAAAAGAUUAAAAAGAUGGGUUCCUCAACCAACCCUACUUGUUACUGUCGGCGACAUGAACGACCUGAAUUGACGUUACAACUUUAGUCCAUAUAUACAUGCGGUUGUGUGUGUGGGGUGCAGGCCAUGGCCAUCUUUGCAAAAUGCGACUCAAAAACCACUCUGGCCUUAAUGCUGAUGACACAUCAUUAUCGGGUCAUUGCUCAUUAUUUUACCAUUUCUUUUUUCUCUACAAAAAUUUGGAGAACUCGUUCUCGAAUCUCCAUCUCUCUGUAAAUGGGGCACAGCAUCUUGGAAAAAAAAGUAGAAGAAAAGAAGGGCAGGUGGUACAAAGGGUUGAAUCUCUCCAAAGGAAAAGAGGUAAAGAAGUCUGGGGUUCUUUUAAUUCAUAAAGGGUUUCUCUUUACUCGAUUGUCAUGAUAGAAAUUAAAAUUACGAAAGAUAAACUGAUAUCAAGAACCCACCUUUGUCCUAGAAAAGUAACACAAGUUUCAAAUAGUUGCAGCAUCAUGAGGGAGAAGUGUAUCUCUCCUUUUCACCUACUUUACGAAAUGCCCACAAUCUUUCUCUCACAUGGGACGUCUUUGCAUGCAAUUAGUGACUAAAAAGUGAAAGCAACAAAAAGAAAAAAAAAAAGAUAAUAAAGCAUCGAUACAUGUUUUUAUACCCACCACCGCCUCUAAAUAGUCAGACCCAAAAACUACCCAUUUGGUAAAAGCAGCAAUUUCCAAUGAUAUAGAAAGCCUAUGCAUUAAGAAAUAUGACAAAAAAAAACUGGGAAUAAUUCAAAAAUGAGUGGACUCAUAAAGUGGUAAAAGUAACUCUAAUUGGCUAUAAAAGCAAAAUCCAAGGUAAUGAAUGUGAUGGUACAGAGGAGAGAUUCAAUUCAAAUUGGAUUAGAGAAAAAGGUAGAAACCAUGAGAACUAAUUUGAAAUAAAGUUAAGAGGGUUGAAACCAAAGAAUGAUGACAAAUCUUAAUAUGAUUUGAAAUCAUACAAAAUCAAUGGGUUUGAAUAGAGUGAGAUCGUAUUUGCAUCAUGAUGAUGUUGACCCCUCGUGUUCACUACAUAAGCAGAGCUAGGGUUUGAAGAAUAAUUGAUUAUUUUUUAAGUUUUUUUUUUUUUUUUUAAUUAUUACAAAAACAAGUUUAAUUACUAUUUAUAUUAAUGUAAACUUCUUAAAUUGGUUAAGAAAGUCAUAAAGGUCUCAAAUAAAUAAAAAUAGUAUCAAUUAACACAAAGUUCUACUUGGUGGUGGGGGGUGGGGCAAGGGGGAUUUUGCAAGGAAGUCCUCAAUAUCAGAAAAAUUUCCUUGCUCUUUCUUGACAUCCAAACAAAGCCUAAGUACGGAUGUAUGGCACAUUGAGAGUAUAACGCACAUAUUUAAAAUUUGUGAGUAGAUCUGAAGCAUAGAUUCAUACCAUACGAUCACUUAAUCUUAACAUUUACAUAUUUUGAAUGACUGAUAUUCAGAAAAAUAGAGGGGGGGUGGUGGGGAUUGUAGUUUCAAUCAUUACUGUGAAGACAUAUUUCCAAAGAGAGUUAAAGGCUAAAGCUACUUUCAUGGUAUAGGUUUAAUGGGAUAACAGCCCCACUUUUGCUACCACAAAUUACCCUCUACUCUUCUAUGAAACAAACCACAAUUACCCACCCACAAAGGACAAAGAUUGGAACCCAUUUGGUCGCUGUAAUCACUGAAUUAUACCAAAAUCAGAGAAGCGAGAUUGCGGUUUCUCUCUUUUCUUGGGUUCUGAAUGCAAUGUGACAAAAUAUUUGAGGGAGCAAGGAGAGAAAGUAGAGGGGAUAAGAGGGUAAAUCCUUCCAAGGAGAAGGGUUCACAGUGGGACAAGAGAUCACAGCUGUCAGGGAUGAAGGAAGGGGUUUGGAUGAAUAAAUCAGAUAAUAUCAUUUUGUAUGUCAUGUGGGUUAAAAGAGGGGAAUAUUCCAAGAUGGCAGGCAAAAGAGCAGAUAAAAAGUUGAUAUAGAAUCUCUCACAACCAGACAAAUCAAACUUGUAGUAGUCAAAUUAAAUGGAAAGGUGAGAUCACAUGACUUACGGAGCUGCUGCGAUCAGAUUAUCCAUGACCUCCAUGACCUCCAUACGUGGUUUUGAAGGACCCCCACAUGAGAAGAAAAUGAAAGGGACACAGAUUUUUGUAUGAGGCACAGCACAAGGAAAGUGACAAUCAUUAAUACCAAGAGUACUGCCUCUGUGUGCGUGUGUGGGUGUGGGUUUGUGUGUACGUGGGGAUUCUGCAGAAAUACAAUCGAUUCACUUGUCCUUUGGAUCAAGUACUCUGGUUUAAAAUAAAGCAAAAAAAAUAAAAUAAAAUGUACACUAUAUCGUCUCUCUGUGCUUCCUAUGACACCUCCCUAGCCUAAUUUUUUGCUUCCAAAUAAUUUAAGAAUCGUUAAGAUUUUUAAUCAACCCAUGGAAUAAAAGAUGGGAUUCACAAUGGCAGUUAAGAACAUCACAACUCUAUCAGGGUGCACUCGAUCAACAAGAACCAGUUUAGAGAAACCAACACAAUUUUGCACCUACAUACAUCACAGCUUCCACCAGAGACUCAAGGAAUAAAGAAUUGAAGAGCACUGGAACACGCUCGACUACAAAGAAGGAUUUACAAACACAUACAGCCAUGUUUCUCUCUCUCUCUCUCUCUCUCUCCCUUUGUCCUGUGAGAUACAAUGCCUUCUCAAACCUUCAUUAGUUGGAUUCCAUGUUCGAUGAUGCAUUCUCAUUCAGUACAUUAUACUUUGACAUUGCCUCUGUUCAAACCAUACUGCAAUACAAUAUGCAAGAAUGCCUCAUUUAGAAAAAGUCACUAAUAUUUGUCUGGCAGUUAAAGUUGAAGAUCUACAAGGAACAAAAUAUGAAAAUGUUAAUAAGCGUGUAAAAUGAUUGAUACUAAACAAAUGACCUUUUAAAUAAUGCACAAAUUUCUUACUCAUGGCAACAGCAUGCCCUCAAUUUUGACAUAAACACAAAGUAAUUUCACUAUGAGAAAAUUUACACUAUCAAUAACAUUUCAUGGAUCCAAAUGUUUUGAAGGGAUUAGGAAUUCUCAAAUGCUUACUAGUAGACCAGAAGGUUAAUGAUUGUUCAUGCAAAGACAAUCAACUUGCAUUUGUUAUUAGUUAAUGCCCAGUGGCUUGUGCCACUGAUCCUCUUCUCUUUUUUUCCUCUUAAUUUAUAUCCUAUUUCUCAUUCAACAGACAUUAGGAAGACAAAAAGAAAAAAAUUUAUAGCCAAUGCAAAGUAGGUUUUUUGUCUGAAACAAUUUAAGGAGCCAAAAAGCAAGGAAGUGAAUAACAAAAGAAAAUACAAACAUAUAAAACCAGGACCACAAGCAAAUAAAAAAUAAAUGAACAUGCACCCACCACCCACACAAAUAAUUGUAAUAAUACAGGACUAAAUUAUAUUGAUCACAAACAACCUCAAAAUUAAGCAGAAAAUUUUAUAUAGUGGAAAUUGAAAGUGGAAGCAAAUAAAUUUUCAAGAAACCUAUAAAUGAUCAAGGUCCAAUUGAUCUUGCUUUUACAAGUAAAGGAGGAUAUGCAUUUGGUGAGUGUGCAACUGACAAAUAUCAGCAAAUAAGUUGGACCACCUAAUUAUUUACUGCUUUAUACCCAAUCACAAUAAAUUAGAACCUAGCAUAUUUGUAUGACUUAUCUUCUUUACCAUAAAGCCUACUUCAAGGAUCCAAUUUUGAAGAGAUUGCUUCUUUCAUGACCAGAUUUUGUUUGAGUCAGGCAAGAAUCUAGUAGAAAUAAAGCAAAAGAUAAAAAGCCUCUAUAGUUACUUUUACGAGCUAGAUUUUGAUUUCUUUUCAAAGAGGGGAACUAGAUCUUCAAUCCUUCAAAGGGGAAUUACAUGAAUGCCUACUUUUUAUCUGUCAAAUUUCCAAAGAAAAUAGUUUAUUUCUCAGAAAUUAAAAAGAGAAACAUCCUAACUGGAUAAAUAUCAGCAAGCAAAUUCCCAUGGUUUCAAUGCUCAAGUUUUCGCACUUAUAUCAAAAUAAAAUACCUUCUCUCUCAUCCGUGAGCUCCAGGUCUCCAAAUAAGCCCCUUUGCCAUCACCUUUUGAUGACCCAGAAGUUUGGCUUGCUUGUGGGUUUAGGAGUGGCUCCCGAUUCCUCCCAGCAGCAGUAUAAUCAUCCUCAAUGUCAUAAUCUGUUUUCCGAGUAGAAACCAUGGCUCGCAGGAUCAUUGCUAGUAGUAAAGAUAAUGCCUGAAACAAUAUUAACAUCAAUUUCUCCUUCAAACUCCAUCUUUGUAUACUAUCAUUAAACAUUGUGAGGCCAUGUCCACAGUUAGUAAUGACUUCAUAUGUUUCUUUUAAUAAAAAAUGUAAAACUCUACUUAUUUACAAUCAAAACCCCACUUAAACAAAGCCUUAAAACCCCAAAAUAUUGCACCCUUGUAGAUCAGCUCAUCCUCCAGAGCAUAGAAGAAGACAGACUUUGGAAAGAGAUAUUUUUAAAAGAUUUUGGAAACAGACUUUCUUCAUCUCACUCCUUUCAUUUUCCUGUUGAUUCCUAAUUUAUGUUUAGGCUUUUACCUGAACAAGAAUAUUAAUCAUUGAACUGCAGCAAUUCAUACAAAUACAUGCACACACAUACACACCUGCAGCACAAAACUUUACUUGGGCUCUUUAUACCAAACAUUUAUAUUUUCAGCAGAUUUCAAAAGGAAAUUUUUAUACCUGGGAGCUAUCAACAAAGAGUAUCCAGUUCAAUAUUUAAAAGUCAUUUUUAGUGGCAUAUGUAUUCAUUACUGCUUAAGUUGAUUGCCCAAAAUCAAGGUCUAUUAUGAAACCUUUUUUUGUUUUUUUGUUUUUUUUUUUUGAUAGAUAAGAAGAAAAAUAUAUUAAAAAAGGCCACCAAAAAAGCGACCCACGGUAUAUAAAACAUUUACACCCACCACCAAAGGCCAAAGCUACAAAACAAGAAAGGCUUAAGCAACACCACCCUCGACAAGAUCCCAAUCAAUUGAAAAAAUUGAAAAGAGUUGAAGGAACAUCAUCUAUAAACAACUUCAUUUCUGACCAAAGAAGACAAACAAAAGAACUUUUUAGACUUUGGAUUGAAAGUUGAUUCCCAUCAAAGGCAAUUUUAUUCUUUGCCUUCCAAAUUGUCCAAAAUAAGCAUAAUGAACCAGCUCUCCAAACCUUCUUGCGCUUUUUGCCCACAAAUGAACCAUGCCAACCUAUAAGUGUCAGUCUAAACGACGAGGGUAGCACCUAAGACACCCUGAAAAGGGGCAAAUAGCAACUCCCACAAGACCCUUGUCUUUACACAAUGGACAAGGAGAUGGCUUGUGGAUUCUUCCUCAAUAUGGCACAAAAAACAUUUAUUUGCCAAAGAUCUUCCUCUUUUCUUAACUUGAUCUAAAGUUAAAACUUUUCCCCACGUUGCCUCCCAAGCAAAGAAACCGACUUUAGGUUUCAUCCAUGCCUUACAUAUGAUGCUCUAUGGGAAAGAACUCGAUAUCCCCAAUUCCAAAGCAGUAUAGAGCAACUUCAUUGUGAACUUGUCAUUCUUUGUCUCUAUCCAAGACACCCUAUCUUCCUCAUCCCUAAACACCCUCAACCCAUGCAAGCGUGAUAGAAACCUCUCCACACUUUCCAUCUCCCAAUCAUUGAAAGGUUUAGAGAAACAAGGGCUCCCCCACACACCUCUUUUUUACUUGAAUAGAAGAAUCCUAAACAUCCUCCACCCACACCUCCUUAGAAACUACUAAGGCAAAUAAGGAUGGGAAAGAGCUACUUAAAGAAGCAGUCCCAACACCACUUAUCCUUUCAAAACUUGACCCUCCACCCACUACCCACCAAGAAGGAGAUCCUACUGCUUACAAGACCUUCCUUAUGGCUUUCCAAAAACCAACACCAAACCCCUCCCUCACUUCCCUGGAAUACCAGCCCUCCUCUUCUUCUCCAUACUUCCCAUUGAUAACUUGAUUCCAGAGGGUCCCCUUUUCAAUCACAUAGUGCCAAUUCCACUUGCUCAAAAGAGCCUUAUUGAGUAUGGAGAGAAGCUUCACACCCAAACCCCCUUUCCUUUUGUCUAGGAAAAUAGUAUCCCAUCUCACUAUAUGUGGUUUAUGCUCAAGAGCCCCACCAACCCAAAGGAAGUCUCUCUGGAUCUACCAAUUUACUUUAUGUCUCUAUUAUGAAACUAUUUCAAGAAAGAUGAGGUUGAAAGCAUUCAUGACCCUGUUUGAAGAACUAAAAGUUGGCACUGCCCAUAGUUCAAUGGAGUAGGACACAUCACAGACUUCUUGCAAAAAAUAAAUUCCACUACGCAAUAUGCAAUAUACAUUUUUUUUUUGAUAAGUAAAUGGUAAUAGUAUAAAAGCACCAAAAGGGGUGCAUCAAAGUACACAUGGUGUAUACAAUGCUUGCCAAAGAGCGUCAAAAAGGAUAAGGAAAACAAAAAUACUCCCUCCUUCAAUCUGACCCAGACCAAUCAAUAGAAUCGACUAAGGACAUAGUUGUAUUUUCUAUAAACAAAUUAGACCAAGAUAACAAGUUGCACAAAUACAAGAAUUUCAGCCUUUGAAUAGAGAGUUCCACAUUCUUGAAAUAUCUUCUACAUCUUUCUUUCCAUAUUGUUCAAAAAGGACUUAAAAGCGCUGCUUUCCAAACUUGUUUAUGCUUUCUUCCAACAAAAGAAUCAUAUCACCUUAAAAGGGUCUCAGUUAGAAUGGAUCAUCCAAUACGCCCCAAACACGAAGAACAAGAGUGCCCACAACACUCUUGUCUUUCCACAAUGCAAGAGGAUAUGAUCAAUUGACUCCUCAUAAGCAUCUUGGCUAAAGACUAACCCCUCCUUUGUAGUUGGUCUAAAGUCAAAAUUUCCCUCAUUUGAUGCCUCCCAAGUAAAUAAGCUUACCUUUGGAAGAACCCACACAUUCCACACUACACUUGAUGGGAAAGGCUUUCCCUUCCCACCUCAAGGAUAGAAUAGAGGGACUUCACUGAAAAGGGUCCACUCUUUGCCACCACCUAAUACUCCUUGUCCUCCCUUUCCACAUCCACCACCUUAUCUUGAAGCCUUGACAAAAAGCACUCCACAGUCUCAAUCUCCCAGUCUUUGAGAGGUUUAGAGAAAUUAGGAAUCCAAACACUCCUCUCAUUAGAGUGCAUCCACAAGUCCGUCACCCAAGCCUCUUUAGAGAUAGCAGGGGCAAAUAAGAAGGGGAACGAGACACACACAAGCUCAUCACCACACCAUUUGUCUUUCCAAAACUUAAUCCUUCUCCCAUUGCCCACUAUGAAGGAAAUUAGACAAGAAACUAAUUCCCACAAAUUCCUUAUAGCCUUCCAUAACCCAGCACCAUAGUUGCUCCUCACUUCCUUAGAGCACUAUCCCCUUCCAUUUCCUCAUAUUUACCACAAAUAAUUUCUUUCCAGAAGACAUCCCUUCCUAUAGCAAAGCGUCAAUUCCACUUGCAAAGGAGGGCCUUAUUUAGAGAGUGAAGGUGUCUAAUUCCAAGACCUCCCUUUCUCUUGUCUGAACAAACAAUAGCCCACUUCACUAAAUGAGACUUACUCUCUAAAGACCCACCUUCCUAAACAAAAUCCCUUUGAAUUUUCUCCAACCUUAAACAAACUCUCCUCAACAUCCGAAGCAAAGACACAAAGUAAAUUGACAAGCUAGCUAACGUACUCUUGACCAAUGUUAACUUCCUCCAUUAAGAAAUAUAUUGUCUUUUCCACAUUGCCAAUCUCUUUCGGAACUUUUCUUCAACCCCGUCCCAAGCCACCACAGAAUUAUGAGCAACUCCUAGUGAGAGCCCUAAAUAAGUGGUUGGGAGUACACCCACUUUGCAACCACCUUAAAAGCUAACUCCUCCACAUUCAACACCCUUCCAACCGGAAUGAGGUCACUCUUAGCCAAGUUAAUUUUCAAACCCAAAAUGGCCUUAAACCACAUAAUCAACCAAUUCAAGUAAGUCAUUUAGUUAGAUGUGGCCUCAUAAAACACCAAAGUAUCAUCGGCUAACAAAAGAUGGGAAACCUCCAAACCCUCUCCAUUUCUACCAAACACUUUGAAACCAAACAAAUAACCACCCUCCCUUACCCUUCUAAGAAGGCAACUAAGCGCCUCCAUGGCUAAUACAAACAAACACGGUGAGAGGGGAUCCCCUUGCCUUAAUCCCCUAGAGUUCUGAAAAAACCCCGAUGAAGUACCAUUCACAAACAUCGAGAACCUUGAUGUUGAGAUGAACCAACCAAUCCAAUUGAUCCACCUUCACCCAAAGCCCAUUUUUUCUAACACCUCAAGUAAAAAAUUUCAAUUGACAUGGUCAUAAACCUUCUCAAUAUCAAGCUUGCACAAAACCCCCGAUCUAUUGCUUCUCAGCAUCAUGUCAAUUGCUUUAUUUGCUAUAAGCACCACAUCAAGAAUUUGUCUACCUUCCACAAACACAUUCUGUAAUUUGGAGACCAUUUUGCCCACCAUUUUUUUUAACCUAUUAGCCAACACUUAAGCCAACAACUUGUAAAGGCUGCCCACCAAACUUAUUGGCUUGAAAUCCUUCGAAUCUUUAGCUCCUCCUUUCCUUGGCAACAAUACCAAAAACGUAAGAUUGAGGCUUUUCACAAAACAGCCCUGCUCAUGAAAUUCCUUAAAGAACCCAAAACCUCUUCCUUAACAAAAUCCCAGCAACAGUGCCAAAAAGUUAUAAAGAAUCCAUUUGGCCCUGAUGCUUUAUUCCCAUUAAACUCUGACAAGGCAUUGAACACCUCCUCUCAAAACGGUUCCUCUAGCUUUGUUCCUUUUUGUACAAUUUACUUCUUCAAUAUCCAGUCAGUUGAUUAACACAUUAUGAUUUUUAUGAGUCAAAAUAAUUCAAUAAUUAUACAAAAGAAUCAACCUGUACAAAAGCAGUCAUGAUUCCCUUUCAAAAUUUACAAAAAUAUGACUCAAAUCCACAUACUUUUGAGCCCUAAUUGGUGAAACCUCAAAUUUGGAUUAAGACUGAUGAAAUAGGAUGAUGUGUAAAUGAGUAAAAGAGUAGGACUCCUAAUGUCCUUUUGGAGGUACUACGGGGAGAAGGAUAAAUAUAGUAACACAUUUGGACUACAACGUACCUGAAUUGAGACCACAGUUAUGCCAACCCACUUACAAAUAUCAAUAUUGCCUUCAAUGAAAGAACGAAAGUUUUCAAGUUCUCCAGUUGGGUCAAAUGGAAGAUCCUGAAGUCAUGAUAGGAACAAAGUUUAUGAAAAAUGAUAUGCACACAGGGUGAAAAGCGCCAAGCACUCAUAUGAAAGUAGAUCUAUUUAUGAUCUUCACAAAUAUAAUCAACUCACCUUUUCCCAAUGAUGAUCGAAAGCAACAAAUGCUAUCAAACCCGCUUCCAGUAAAAUGAGUAAAACUGUGAGCAUAGUAUACUAACGUUUUAUAAGGUUAAGGAGAGAUGCACAGAGAGAUAGAAUUGAAUGCAGACAAAAUUAAUCGAAAAAUAAAGUAAUUAAACAAAAUGUGCAAAAUGGACAGAGUGCAUGGAUUACGAAUUCAAGUGCCAACUAUGAUUCCUUUUUCUUUCUCUUCAAUAGUGUGUUUUUUUUUUUUUUUUUUGGUUUUUUAUUUUUGUUUUUUGUGGUUUGUUGGUUUCCAGUCUGUUACCAGUUGAGCAGCCCUUAAGGGCAGUUGGUUUAGGUUCUUUAGUUACAGGAGGUUAGUCACAUAGACAUUAUAUGGCCAAAAUUGAGGGACAGCAAAGUGGAGUAAUAGGAAAGUAAGGGUUGAAGAGAACGACUAGUCUACUGAAAGGGUUCAAAUGAAGAAUUCUGAGGAUAGGCUUCUAAAAUGGAGUGCUGAUUCUAGAAAAUAUCAAUCAUGUCAAAUGAUGAUCUCUCAGGCCCAUUUAUAGGGUUUUUUGUUCUAGGCAAAAGUCAACCAGGGGAAAAAAUUGUAGACCAGUGAGAUGAUUCCAGAUAGCUUUUUAAAGGGACCCUAGAACAGGAACUAUAGAUCACCCAAGACUGCCAUCAAAUAAUAUCUAAGAUAAUUAGUUCAACAUCCAGACAUGGACUCCUAGCAAUAACUCCACACAGUGAUUCCAGUACAACUACAAGUAAUGAAUGCAGGCAUCAGCUAUAGGCAGUGAUUGCAACUACAUGUAGUGACAGUGGACAAAAAUUGUAGGCAACAAUUACAGGCAGCAACUUCAAAGGAUGUGAUCAUAAUUCCCCCAAAGUGCCCACUUGUCCUAUAACAUUAUCAUCAAUGUUGGCAAGGUUGCGCCCUUUGAUUAUUAGCCAAACAACAGUUCGAUGGCUUUCAACAAUUUAUAAGAGUUGUCAACAGAGGGGUUUGAACCAGAAAUUUUAGCUCCCCUUAAAAAGAUGAUGGAGAAAAAGGAAUCAAAGAUCUGAACUAGUGAAAAGAGGAAGACGAAAAACUGUUCAAGAUUUGAAAGAGAACCAGGGAGGUUGGAAUGCUUUGUAAAUUACAAGAUACAAAAAGCUGAAGGGGGUGAGAAUGGCAAGAAAGACUAAGAGCUGGCUACAGUUUGCUGAUGAAGUUAAGAAUAAUUUCAUGGAAUGUGAGAGAAGAAACUGACAGUGAAAGAGGAAGGUUAUAAAGUCCCUCAUUUGAUCACAAAGUAUAGGCCUUAUGUGUUUACAAGAAACAAAAAUUCAGAAUGUGUAGGUAGAGAUAUUGAGGAGCUUAAGAUUGGGAAGAUUUUUAGUUUGGAAGGAGGGCUGGUCUUUUGGGACAAGAGGGUGUUGGAGCUUGAUGGCAUGAAGAUGGGGGGAUUUUCUAUUUCACGCUGCUUCAAGUGUAUUGAAGAUGGCUUUGUUUGGAUUUUCUCUAAGGUGAAUGAGCCAACUUCAAAGAGGGAAAGGGAGGGUUUGUGGGCUAAGUUAGGGGCUAUCAAGGGGUUAUGGGAAAACUUGUAUUGUGUCGGAAGUGAUUUCAACAAAGUCAGGUUCUCAUGGGAACAUAACAGCAAAAUAGGUUGUCUAAAUCCAUGAGAAGAUUUUUAAAGAUUAUUGAGGAGUUAGAGUUGCAUGAUCUUCCUUUGCAGGCGACCCUUUCACUUGGUGUGGAGGAUUAAACAAUUAGUCUAUGUCAAGGUUGGGUCAAUUUUUCGUAUUAGAAGAACGGGAAGGUCAUUUUAGUGGGUUGGCACAAUGCCCUUUGUCAAGGCCAAUAUCAAAUCACUCUCUACUUCUUCCAGAUGAUGGAGGGAUUAGGGGAGGGAGUAUACCAUUCAGGAUUGGAAAUAUAAGGUUGGCAGUUAAGGGAUUCAAAGAAUCACAUAAGGGGUGGUGUGUGGGAUAUAAUUUCAGAGGUUCAAAUAGCUUGAUUUUGGCCUCUAAGUUUAAAACAUUAGAAUCAGACUUGAAGGCUUGGAGUAAAGAGGAUUUUGAGUAAUGCAUGUGUCAAGCCAAGAAGGAGAUGACUCUUAAUUAGGUAGACUUUUAGGAUUCUUAGUAAAGGGAAGUAACUCUUUCUUUUGAGAAAGCCAAAGCUAGAAGAGUAACAAGGGAAGAGUAUUGCAAUUGGGCUUCUUUGGAAGAAAACUCUUGGAGAUAGAAAUUGAGAGAGAUUAGUUAGAGGGAGACAAAAACACUAAAUUUUUUUAGAAAAUGGCUAAUGAGAAUAAUAGAAUGAAUUGUUUGGCCAAAAUCAAAAUUAAAUGGAGCUUUGCUACACAAGGAGCAAGAGAUAGAGGAAGGGAUGUGUGAAAAGAGAGAGAGAAAAAGGGAGAAUCCUUAAUUAUUGUUAUUGAAAAACUGUAAAGAAUACACAUUGGACUUGGGUAUAUAUAUACAUGCUAGUGGGACCCACAAUACAAUAAGGAAAGAAAAGGAAAAGGAAAAGUAAAUAACCUAAAUAACUAUACAUUAUCUAACACUCUCCCUCAAGCUGGAGCAUAUAUGUUAUAUGCACCAAGCUUGUUAUAAAUGUAUUUAAUUCUAGGACCUCUGAGAGAUUUAGUAAAAAUAUUUGCUAGUUGAUCAUUUGAAUUGACAAAACUAGUCGCCACACAUCCUGAUGCGAUCUUCUCUCUAAUGAAGUGACAGUCAACUUCAAUAUGUUUGGUCCUUUCAUGGAAGACUGAAUUGGAUGCAAUAUGCAAAGCGGCUUGAUUGUCACAGAUGAGCUUCAUCUGUUCAUCCUUUCCAAAUCUCAACUCCCGAAGAAGAUGUUUCAGCCAUAUGAGUUCACAUGUUGCCAGAGCUCGAUACUUAGCUUCAACACUAGAUCUGGCCACUACAUCUUGUUUCUUACUCUUCCAAGAUAUUAGGUUACCUCCAAUAAAAACACAAUACCCGGAAGUGGAACGUCUAUCUGUGGGUGAGUCAGCCCAAUCUGCAUCUGUGUAACCAACAACUUGGGUAUGACCUCUGUUCUCGUACAACACACCUUGACCUGGUGUGCUUUUGAUAUAUCGAAAAAUGCGGAUUACAGCAUCCCAAUGGCUAUCACAUGGUGACUGUAGGAAUUGACUAACAACACUUACAGGAAAAGAAAUGUCUGGACGAGUAAUGGUGAGGUAGUUCAGUUUACCUACAAGUCGCCGAUAUCUCCCAGGAUCUCCUAAAGGCUCCCCCUGUCCUGGUAUAAGUUUGACAUUUGGAUCUAUAGGAGUGUCUACCGGUUUACAGUCUAACAUACCGGUUUCUUCCAAGAUGUCUAAAGCAUACUUCCUUUGGGAAAGAACCACAUCGGAACUGGAUUGAGCUAUCUCAAUCCCUAAGAAAUACUUGAAUUUCCCCAAAUCUUUAGUCUGAAAGUGGGUGAAAAGGUGUUGCUUUAGGUUCUGAAUACCAUUCUGAUCACUGCCUGUAAUGACGAUGUCGUCCACAUAAACUACCAGAUAAAUACACUGCCCUGAAGAGUUAUGAUGAUAGAAAACGGAAUGGUUUGCUGUAUUGCGGAACAUGCCAAACUCCUGAACAAUAGAACUAAAACGACUAAACCAUGCUCGAGGAGAUUGUUUCAAGCCAUAUAGAGAACGGCAUAACCUGCACACUAAACCAGACUCCCCCUGAGCAACAAAACCAGGUGGUUGCUCCAUAUAAACUUCCUCAGCAAGAUCCCCAUGAAGGAAAGCAUUUUUAAUAUCUAACUGAUAAAGAGGCCAAGAACGCAUAGCAGCCAUGGAGAGCAAUAGACGAACAGAAGCUAUCUUGGCAACAGGAGAGAAAGUGUUACCAUAAUCAGAACCAUACACCUGAGUAUAGCCUUUAGCAACUAAGUGGGCCUUAAGGCGAUCAACCUGACCAUUAGGGCCAACCUUAACUGUGUAGACCCAACGACAACCAACUGUAGAUUUACCAGAGGGUAAAACAACAAGAUCCCAAGUGCCAUUGGAGUGUAAAGCAGCCAUUUCAUCUACCAUUGCCUGUCGCCAACCUGGAUGGGAAAGAGCCUUAGGGGUGAUUUUGGGAAGAGAAACAGAAGAUAUAGCAGAAACAAAUGCAGAAUAGGGUGAAGAUAAUCGAUGGUAACUUAAAAAAUUGUAAAUGGGAUGAGGAUUACGAGUAGAUUGAUUACCUUUCUGAAGAGCAAUAGGUAAGUCAGCAGAAGGAGGCAGAGCCGGGACAGGAGAAGCCGAAGGGAUAGGAGGUGAGUCAGCAGGUACCACAGCCAAAGAAGGAGGAACAGCGACACGAUGACGGCGAUGAUAAACCUGAAGUGGGCGAGAAGGCACUGCAUCAGGUGGGGAGAUAAUGGGAAGGGGUAAGACUUCAGAAACAGGAAGAGACUCAGAGGUGGAGAAAAACGGUGAGUCCUUAAAGAAAGUGACAUCAGCGGAGAGAAAGUAGCGAUGAGUCUCAGAGGAAUAACAACGAUAACCCUUUUGAAGUUUGAAAUAUCCCAAGAAGAUGCAUUUUGUGGCUCUGGCAGAAAGUUUGUCCUGUCCAGGAGUGAGAAUAUGAACAAAGCAAGUACAACCAAAAACACGAGGAGGAAGGAAAUAAAGUGAUUCGUCAGGGAAAAGAAGGGAAUAAGGAAUCUGAUCGUGUAAUACAGAUGAUGGCAUACGAUUAAUCAAAUAACAUGCUGUAAGAACAACGUCCCCCCAAAAACGAAAAGGAACAUGACUAUGGAGAAGGAGAGUAUGAGCUAUCUCAACAAGAUGUCGAUUCUUACGUUCAACUACCCCAUUUUGUUGAGGAGUAUAAGCACAAGAAGACUAAUGAAUAAUCCCAUGUUGGGACAUAAAUGAAGUAAAUUGUGUAGAAAAAUAUUCCCUGACAUUGUCACUGCGCAACACACGAAUAGAAAUAUUGAAUUGGGUUUGGAUUUCAGCAUAAAAUUUCUGAAAAAUAGAGAAUAACUCAGCUCGAUUUUUCAUUAAAAAUAACCAAGUACAUUGAGAAUAGUCAUCAAUGAAAGUGACAAAAUACUGAAAUCGUAAAGUAGACGCGGUCCGACAAGGACCCUAAACAUCAGUGUGGACAAGUUCAAAAGGAGACUUUGCCCGAUUAUUCAAACGCUUUAGGAACGAGACACGAGUAUGUUUCCCAAGCUGACAGGACUCACACGCAAGCGACGACAAAGAUGAAAAACUAGGGACCAUUUUCUGGAACUUGGAUAGACUAGGGUGGCCCAGGCGACUGCGGAUGAGGAGGGGAGCAUCAGUGGAAAUGCAAACUGCAGGUGAAGGCGAGGUGAGGUGAUAGAGGCCUUGAGACUCACGUCCUAUGCCAAUCGUCUUCCCCGUACUCUGGUCCUGCAAGGUCACAAAUUUAUCACAGAAAGUGAUAGAACAGUUAAGAGUGCGAGUUAUUUUGCUGAUGGAAAUAAGAUUAAAAGGACACUCAGGGGCAUAAAGGACAGAAUGGAGAAGUAGGGAAGGGAGAGGAUGAGUGAAACCAAAACCUUUAGCCAUAGUUUGGGAACCAUUAGCUAAAGUAACAGUAGGUAAGGCAGAGGUAGUAGUAAUAGAAGAGAAAAGAUCCUUAUUACCAGAUAUGUGAUCAGAAGCGCCAGAAUCUAGAAUCCAAGGUCCAAGAGAAGAUGUGUGGGUAAGACAAGUAGAAGCAUUACCAGUCUGGGCAAUAGAAACAACAGAAGCUGACUUGGUGGCCUGAUAGCGGAGAUAGUCGUCAUACUCACUGUCAGUGAGGAAAAUACCCUGAGAUGUGGAGGAACUGGGAGGCUGAGGCAACUGAGGAUCAGAUGACUGGGCCACGUGGGCAGUGCGGGGAGGUUGCCCAUGUGACUGAUAACACCGAUCACGAGUGUGGCCAAGCUUAUUGCAAUAGGUGCAAUGAGGACGUUGGCCUCUACCUCGGUUACCACUGCGUCCUCCUCGAGAGUUAGUUUGAGAAACUAACACAGAAGAAUCUGAAGUGUAAUCAGAUGGCAAAGUCUGAGUGGAGGAAAUACGGAGGAGGUGAGCAAACACAUCAUCUAAGGAUGGAACGGAGGAACUGCCAAGAAUCUGAUCGCGGACGGUCUCAAGAUCUGGACGGAGGCCAAUAAGCAUAAGAACCAUGAAGAACUUGUCAAUCUGUAUGCGUUGAUCCCCAACAUCAGUAGUAAGAGGCAUCAUGGUCAAGAAUUCCUCCUUAAGAGAGGCAAUCUGACCAAUAUAAGUAGAUAAAUCCAUGUCUUGUUGUCUGACAUUGACAAUAGAAGAAACCACCUUAUAAAGACGUUGGAUAUCAUUCGUGUAUAGCCCUUUCGUUUGAUUCCAAAAUUUAAAGCAUGUUUUGUAGGCCCGAAGAUGAUGCAGAAUCUUAGGAUCAAUUGAUUGCCAUAACACACUACAUAACUGUGCAUCCAUCUUCCUCCAUUGUACUUUGUCAACCUCAGGGAUAUCCGCCUCCUGCGUAACAAGGUGAUCCUCAUAACCUUGACCCAUAAACCAAAGCUCUAUAGAGACAGACCAGGACAAAUAAUUUUCACUGCCAACCAAUUUCUCAGAAGUAAUCAUAGGAGAUCCAGAUAUGACAUAGGAAAAAGGGGAACUUUUAGUAGCCAUAUCUACUUAUCUGGUGAAUGAAAUAUGUUUGGAUCGAAGAGAACCAUAAUACGGCUUAUCGUGGACUUCCUAAGACACUUGCAGGUCUCGGGGUGGAGAGGAAGUCACCGGAGGUCGCCGGAAAGGCGGUUUAGAGGGCCGGCAGAGACAAAAAAACCCAAAAAAUGCACUUCUAGGGCUCAGAUGACACAAGCGCAGAUGGAGGGUGGCUAGACGGCGUCAAGCGAGGCUGGAGGUGGAAGCACGUGGCCGGAAAAUGCCCCACGCGCCCUCACGCGCCGGCGCGUGAGAUUCAAGCCGCCAGAGAAGAGACGCGCGUGGCUGGGAUUCUUCCUCCGGUGCUUUGAGAAAAGUUGAAGAUCUCCUCCUUGCGCACUUGAUGGUAUGGUCGGUGUCAGAAAAGGACUUCGCCGGAAAGUCGCCGGAAAAUUCGUCGGCGGUGAGGGUUUUCCGACGGCGGUGAGGGUUGAUCGGAAGCUUUAGGAGAUGGAAAGGGUGACCGGAAUGAAACACGGUCACUGAAAGAUUUUUCAGAAUGGAUUCACGGAUAAACCGGAAAUAAUUAGGGUUUUUUCUCCCUAGACUCUGAUACCAUGUGAAGAGAGAGAGAAAAAAAGGGAGAAUCCCUAAUUAUUCUUAUUGAAAAACUGUAAAGAAUACACAUUGGACUUAGAUAUAUAUAUACAUGCUAGUGGGACCCACAAUACAGUAAGGAAAGAAAAGGAAAAGGAAAAGUAAAUAACCUAAACAACUAUACAUUAUCUAACAGGAUGGUUCAGGCUUUCUACAAUUUGUUGUCUAAUAUGGGAAGUGGAAACCUAGUGUCAUUGAAAUGUCUUUUAAAACCUUAAAAAUAGUCAAGUUGCUCAAGGAUUAGAGGUGUCUAUCAAUAAGGAGGAUGUGUUUAAGGCCUUGUCAGAUUUGAAUAGGGACAAGGCUCCAAGGUUGGAUCACUUUCCUAUGAUGUAUGCCAAUUCAAAUGGAGCUUUGUGAAAGACAACAUGAUGGGGCUAUUUAAGGAAUUCUAUGACCAAGGUAAGUUUGAAAAAGGGUUGAAUGUUAUGUUUAUGGUGUUACUUAAAAAAGAAAAAAAAUGGAUGUGAAUGGCCUGAAAGACUUUAGACCUAUUAGCCUAGUGGGUGGUUUAUACAAGCUCCUUGCUAAAAUGUUAGCUAAUAGGUUGAAGGGGGUUGUGAGAAAGCUUGUUUCCGAGUUCCAAAAUGUGUGUAGAGGGAAGGCAAAUUCUUGAUACAACACUUUAUAGCUAAUAAGGUAAUUGAUUAUAUGAUGAAGAGUGACUCUAGUGGUAUAAUUUUUAAGUUUGACAUUGAGAAAGCAUAUAACCAUGAUAGUUGGGUUUUUUUUUUAUUUAUGGUUAUCCAUAAAAAGAAAUAGGGUUUGGACCAAAAUGGACUAAAUGAAUUAAGUGGUGCAUCAUGACAACAAUGUUUUUUGUACUUGUUAGUGGCACUCCUUCAAGGUUUUUUCAAAACUAUAGAGGAUUGUGACUUUGAGACAAGGGAAUCCUCUUUUUCCCGACUUUUUUUGUUUUGGCAAUAGAGGUGUUCAAUAGUCUUUCAGAGAAGGCCGGGGAGGGUGAUUUUUUGUUAGGUUUUAGGGUGAUGGUGAAUCUAUCCUAUCUGUAGUCUAUCAACAACAUCCUAGUCUUUUGUGAGGCCACAUAGAGUCAAAUGAUACAUUUAAGUUAGGUACUAAUGUGUUGCUGAAAAUUAACCAAGAGAAAAGUAAAUUGAUACUAAUAGUGAUUGUGACUAAUAUGGAGGAUUUGGCUCUAGAGUUGGUAUGUAGAGUUAGGGAGCUUCCAACAACUUAUUUAGGGCUUCCUUUAGGAGCUCCAUUGUUCUCUUGGCACGUGCUUUUCUGAGCCUUACUGCGUCUCCAUUGGUGGUCAUUGUUGCUCACAUUUUCCCUAUUUUCAAAUCUCUUUUGGAGAUAUAUCUUAGAGGGAUUAGGUGGAUCCCGAUCAUGAUUUUAGUAGCCCUAAGUUUAGUUUAGAAGUAGUUUAGAAGUGGUUUUUUAAGUUUAGUUUAAUUUAGGUUGAGUUUAGUUUAAUUUAGUUUAGAAGUGUUUUCUGAAUUUAGUUUAGUUUGAAUUUAGUUUAGAAGUAGUUUAAAAGAGUUUUUUGAGUUUACUUUAGUUUGAGUUCAAUUUAGUUUAAAGGUGGCUUAGAAGAGCUCUUUUAGUUUAGUUUAGUGUUUUUUGAGUUUAAUUUAGUUUAGAAGUGGUUUAAAAGAACUUCUUGAGUUUAAUUUAGUUUAGUUUAGUAGUGUUCGAGUUUAGAAAUAGUUUAGUUUAGUUUAGAAAGUGGUUUAGAAGAGUUCUUUGAGUUUAGUUUAGUUUAGAAGUAGUUUAGAUUAGUUCCUUGAGUUUGGUUUUAGUUUAGAAAGUAGGUUAGAUUAGUUUAGUGAGUUUGGUUUAGCCUAGUGAGUCUUAGAAUAAGUUAGGGAGCUUUGGUUAAGGGCUUACAUGAGUCUAGUGAGUUUGGUUUAGAAUUAGAUUAAGUAUUAGUUUAAUUAGAGAAUUUUAGAUAGAAUUAGAUUAAGUGUGAGUGAAGGUUAGGGAGAGUUGUGUGUAGGUUAGUGGGUUGAGUGAAGGUUAGGGAGAGUAGCGUGUAGGUUAGUAGGAUGAGUGUAGGAUAGGGAGAGUUUGGAGAUUAAAUUAGGAAUUCUCUAGAAGGUUGGUGAAGUAGUGUAGGAUAGGGAGAGCUUAAAGAGCAAGUUAGGAAUUCUCUAGAAGGUGAGUGUAGUGGUGUAGGAUAGGGAAAGGUUGGAGAGCAAGUUAGGAAUUCUCUAGAAGGUGAGUGUAGUGGUGUAGGAUAGGGAAAGGUUGGAGAGCAAGUUAGGAAUUCUCUAAAAGGUAGGUAAAGUGGUGUAGGUUAGUAGUGGCUUGGAGGACAAGAUAAAAAAAGGAAAAAGAGGAAAAAAAGUGGUCUCUAGAGAGGGAGAGCCUUGAGAGAAGACGUAAGAAGCUUAAGAGAAUGUGAAGUCAUUUUGGUGAGGGAGAUCUUUGAGGGAAGAAAAGAGAGAAUAGAGAGAAGAGAAGAGGGGAGAGUAGAGAAGCUUCAUGGUUAUGGUGGAGUCACCCAUGAAUGUAUGAAGAUCAAGAGAAGUGAAGCCCCAUUUGUGAUCGAAGUGAAGCUCCAUUGGUGACUGAGGAGAUGAAUUUUCCAAGCACCAAUUCGGUGCUGCAUGUGCUGAUCUUUAAGGUACUAUUGCUGCAUUCCAAGGCACCACCUCAAUAUUAAAGUUGCUGAAAAUUGGCUCCACAAUUGAUGAAUUUGAACCUACCUAGGUAUGCAAAAAUAACACCAAGACAUAAUCACACUUCAAAGAUCACACCAAGGCAUAAUCACAAUUCUAAAAUGUCUAUUUUGGCUCCACAAAGGAAAAAUAACACCAUGUCUUUAAAAUGUCAAUUUCAAAGGAAAAAUAACACCAAGGCAUAAUCACACUUCUAACAUAUUUAAAAUCAAUUUAACAUUCAGAAUGUCCAAAACAGAGCAUGUGUACAAGGUACUUGAAGAUAAAAUUAUAUCUUAUGCUAGGAAAAUACAAAUAAAGUGAUAUAGCUGUCUAAAAUUAAAUUCAAAGGGUGUACUAUCAGGGAAAAAUUCAAUCAUGAAUCAAACAUGUCAUCUUCUAAUUUAAAUUCACAUAUCAAUCUCAAGAAUACAAAACAAAGCAUUGAAAUAAGCUAUUACUUCAAAAAUAAGAAUUUAAAACUUGAAAAUGAAUGUGUAGGGAAUUGCCACUUCCUAAUUUAAUUUGAAUGAAAUUUUCCAUGAUAAAAGAACUCCAUAAGAAGCCAUGUCCAAAUUUCAUUCCCAUAAAAAAUUACAAUUCAUUUUGAAAACAAAUUUGAAAUGCAUACCAAUUCAAAAAGGUAGCAUCGAUGUUUUUUGAAAACUCAUUUUGAGCCUAUGGAACUAAGAGGGCAAGAGGGCAUUAGAAAUGAGAAUGGCCAUUUUUGAAAACCUUAAAAUCAUUUUGAAAGUCUUGAAAACAAUUUUCACAAACACAACCAAACAAGGGAAUCAAAAUAAGUAAAGAAUACCUAUCCAAGCCAAAUAUGUGCAUUAGUGUGUGUGAAAUGUGAAGAUCAACAUGUAGCUGUAUCUAGCUUUAUUAGUAAUCUAAACAUGCAUCAAAGAUUAAUUCAAAGACCCUAAACAUGUUACUAAAUCACCAAGAAAUCAAUGAAAAAAAAAAUUCACAAUUAAGCAUAACACAAAAUUAGUGUAGGCAUGUGAAAGCGUUCUAAAUAAAAAGGCACCAAGUGAUAUAUCAAAGUGAAAAUUAAAAAGAAAAAAAAAAACAAAAUCACAAUUUCAAAAUAGACUUUUAAGUCAAUUAUCAUUAACAUAUCAAAUAACUUUCUUAGGUAACAUAAAAAAUGAUCUCAAUCAAUCAAAAUUAAAAACAUAGAAUCCACUAAACCAUAUAACAAUUCAAUAUGAUAACAAUCAAUCAAUUUAACAAAAAAAAAAUCAAUAAUCAAUAGUGGUCUUUUCAUCCCCCCAAAUCUAAAUCUAAACAUGCCAAAAAAAUUUCAAAACAAAAGAGAAAUUGAAGAAAUAGAAACAUGUAUAUAAGAAUCAAAACAAAGGAGAUUAAUGAGCAUUCCUUGAUGUCUUCAAAUUCACCAAUUGUAGAGCCAAUUUUCAACAAUUUUAAUACCGAGAUGGUGCCUUAGAAUUCAACAAUGAUACCUUAAAGACCAGCACAUGCAGCACCAAACUGGUGCUUGGAAAAUUCAGCUCCUCCGUCACAAAUGGAGCUUCACUUUAGUCACAAAUGGGGCUUCACUUCUCUUGAUCUUCAUUCAUCCAUGGGUGAAUCCACCAUAACCAUGAAACUUCUCUACUACCCUCUCUUCUCUUCCCUUCUUUCUCUCUUUUCUUCCCUCAAAGAUCUCCCUCACCAAAAUGACUUCACAUUCUCUCUAAGCUUCUUACAUCUUCUCUCAAGGCUCUCCCUCUCUGGAGACCACUGUUUUUCUCUUGCCCUCCAAGCCACUACUAACCUACACUUUACCCACCUUCUAGAAAAUUCCUAACCUGUUCUCCAAGCUCUCCCUAUCCUACACCACUUCACUCACCUUUUAGAGAAUUUCUAACUUGCUCUGUAAGCUCUCCCUAUCGUACACUACUUGACCCACCUUCUAGAGAAUUCAUAACUUGCUCUCCAAGUUCUCCCUAUCCUACACUCAUCCUACUAACCUACACACAACUCUUCCUAACCUUCACUCAACCUACUAACCUACACACAACUCUCCCUAACCUUCACUCACACUUAAUCCAAUUCUAACUAAAACUCUCUAAUUAAACUAACACUUACUCUAAUUCUAAACCAAACCCACUAGACUCAUCUAAGCUCUCUAACUUAUUCUAAGACUCACCAGGCUAAACCAAACUCACUAAACUAAUUUAACCUACUUUCUAAACUAAAACCAAACUCAAAGAACU
This 50975-nucleotide long non-coding RNA is filed under the name Vitis vinifera (wine grape). RNAcentral's name for it is "long non-coding RNA (VVIN_LNC002130)". The record is from RNAcentral. Lineage: Eukaryota; Viridiplantae; Streptophyta; Magnoliopsida; Vitales; Vitaceae.